UUGGUUUGUUCUUACAUCUAUACUUUAGUUGACCCAUCGAGCAGUAUUUUCAUACUUUUGAGAGGAUGUAGAGUCGUUCCAUCCUAGUUGACCUGAGUGGUCGGUUCUUGUGCUUCCUUACAGUUGAUGACCUAUACGGUCGGUGAGCCCUGUGGGUAGGAUUGUCGGCUGGUUGCCGACGGUUGACCUUUGAGCAUAUCAGCAUUGACCGCCCGAGACUCGUUCACAUUUCACGAACACCGGCGGUCUGAUCCACCGCAACGGGUGUUCUUUUCCGGAAAAGUGGUUGCAUGUGUCAACCCGUGAGCCCAAGAGGGGUUAUAUGCAUAGUAGAGUGGCAGUGGUACUGUCAGGAGGUUUGCGGUGCGGACCUCGAGGGCACAGGCAUGAGGUUCAGGUGCGGACCAACAGAGCAGCAGAUUUCAGAUUGGGUAUAUUUGGUCUAUACAUCCAGUUGACGCAUAUGUCUAUAGUAGCAGUCAUUGCAUGCAUACUUACAGUUCUUACUUUAUAGUUGUCUUGCUACUAUAGUAGAUAUUCAUGUAUGCUUUCUGUUCUAGUUACAGUAGCGGUAACCGUUAUUUAGUAUAGUUCCUACAUUCUUUCAGUUUAUUGCUACUGUAUUCAGUAUAUCUGCUCAUUUCCUUGUCUAUCUCUUCCUGAUCCGGUGAGUACUUCUCGCCUUCAUCGGCUUGCAGUACCCAUCAGGAGGAAAGACAUGUUUACAUGUUCUCACCUCCCCCACCAUUUUUCAGGUAUUGCGGGCGGUAAGAUUGAGACGAGAUGUGAGACACGUGGAUAGCCGUCGAUAGAACUUCUGACCCGGUUUGUGUAGUUUAGUUACUACCUCUGCGUGGAUUACCGCGAGUUGAACAAGGUUACGGUGAAGAAUAAGUUCCUGUUGUCGAGGAUUGAUGACUUAUUCGAUCAAUUGCAAGGGUCAAGGGUAUAUUCAAAGAUUGAUCUCCAAUCAGGGUAUCAUCAGUUGAAAAUACGACCCGAGGAUGUGCACAAGACGGCGUACCGUACGCGGUAUGGCCAUUAUGAAUUCACGGUGAUGCCGUUUGGGCUUACUAACGCCCUGGCGGCGUUCAUGGACUUAAUGAAUAGAGUCUUCCGUCUGCUAUUGGACCGGUGCGUCAUGGUAUUCAUUGACGACGUAUUGGUAUAUUCUCGGACCGAGGAAGAACACGAGGAGCAUUUGAGGACCGUGUUGGAAAUACUCCGAAAAGAGAAGUUAUAUGCCAAGUUGAAGAAAUGCGACUUUUGGCUAUCGGAGGUCACUUUCCUUGGUCAUGUAAUUUCAGGCGAUGGUAUCUCGGUGGACCCGAAGAAAGUUGAGGCAAUUAGAGAUUGGCCUCGCCCGACGAGCGUAUCGGAGGUCCGUAGUUUUCUUGGGCUAGCGGGCUAUUACCGGCAGUUCGUGGAGGAGUUUGCUAAAAUAACUACUCUCCUAACGCGCCUCACACACAAAGGGGUGAAAUAUGUUUGGAGCCCCGAAUGCGAGCGGAGCUUCAAGGAGUUAAAAGAAAGAUUGACCACGACCCCGGUGCUUGCUCUACUGAUGCCAGGCGAGACAUUUGUGGUAUGUAGUGAUGCUUCCUACGUUGGACUCGGGUGUGUCUUGAUGCAAAACGGGUGGGUUAUAGCUUAUGUUUCACGCCAAUUGAAGACGUAUGAGAAGAACUACCCGAUCCAUGAUCUUGAGCUAGCGGCGGUGAUAUUCGCGCUAAAAUUAUGGAGGCAUUACUUAUACGGAAAACAUUGUGAGAUCUACACGGAUCACAAGAGCCUUAAAUACUUGUUCACCCAGAAGGAGUUAAAUUUGCGACAACGGCGGUGGUUAGAGUUGUUGAAAGAUUAUGAUGUUACUAUUCUAUACCACCUCGGGAAAGCAAAUGUGGUGGCCGAUGCACUUAGUAGAAAAUUGGGAGAAAAUUUGGCUUCUGCAGUUACACCCCAACCAUUAUUGCAAAAGGAGAUGCAACGGCUUGGUUUAGAAGUAGUGGAGCCGGGAGUGCUGGCUACAGUUGUCGCGUUAGUAGUGCAACCGACCUUGUUAGAGAGAAUAAAAGAGCUGCAAGCUUCCGAUGAGUAUCUCCAAAAGGUGCGCGGUGAAGUCGAGAGCGGUAGUGCCGAUGAUUUUGGCAUUGGGACCGACGGCGCACUCCGGUUUAGAAACCGUUGGUGUGUGCCUAAGAACAAGGACUUCCGCAGGACGAUUAUGCAAGAGGCGCAUCAAUCUCCUUAUAGUAUACACUCGGGCGGCACCAAAAUGUACCAAGAUUUGAAAUUGCAUUAUUGGUGGCCAGGCAUGAAGAAAGACAUUGGGGAGUUUGUUGCGCAAUGUCUUACUUGCCAACAAGUAAAAGCGGAGCGGCGGUUUCCGGCGGGAAAGUUGCAAAGUUUACCUAUACCCGUUUGGAAAUGGAAAAAUAUCGCAAUGGACUUCGUGACCGGAUUGCCUCGAUCUCAAGGUGGACACGAUGCAAUUUGGGUGAUAGUAGACCGGUUGACGAAGUCGGCACAUUUCCUACCGAUUCAUAUUACUUGGUCGGGGGACAAGUUGGCUCAACUAUAUAUCGACGAGGUUGUGAGACUUCACGGGGUACCAGUAUCCAUUGUAUUAGAUCGGGACCCGAGGUUCACAUCUCAUUUUUGGAGGAGCCUACAGGAGGCCUUAGGCACACGGCUCGACUUUAGUAGGCAUUUCAUCCUCAAAGUGAUGGUCAAUCGGAGAGGACAAUAUAAAUACUUGAGGAUAUGCUUCGAGCGUGUGUACUUGACUAUAAGGGUGGUUGGCACGAUCAUCUACUGAUGGCGGAGUUCCCGUACAAUAACAGUUAUCAAGAAAGUAUCGCGAUGGCGCCAUUCGAGGCCCUUUGUGGAAAGAAAUGUCGCUCUCCAAUCCAUUGGAGCGAUGUGGGCGAGAGAGCUACUCUUGUUCCGAAUGUGGUGCGGGAGGCGGAGGAGAAAGUUCGCCUUGCCCGCCAAAGACUCACUACGGCGCAAUCUCGAUAAAAGAGCUAUGCCGACAAACGGAGAAAGGACAUAGAGUUUGCAGUUGGCGACCACGUCUUUCUAAAAGUGUCGCCGAUGCGAGGAAUUAGACGGUUUGGGCUCCGGGGGAAGCUAAGUCCCCGGUACCUCGGACCGUUUGAGGUAUUGGAGCGGGUCGUCACGGUGGCGUACAAGAUAGCAUUACCACCGAGCUUGCGGGAGUGCAUGAUGUAUUUCAUGUAUCGAACCUCCGCAAGUAUGUUCACGACCCCGAUCAUGUUCUGUCGUAUGAACCGUCCGAGAUCCAAGAGGACAUGAUCUAUGAAGAGUUCCCGGCAUAUAUCAUCGAUCGAGAAGUAAGAAAACUACGAAAUCGCGAGAUUCCGCAUGUUAAGAUCCGUUGGUGCAAUCACGAUGAUCGGGAAGUCACUUGGGAGCUCGAGAGCGCAAUGCGGGAACAUUAUCCUCACCUCUUUAACGAGCUGAAUUGAGGUAUGAGUUUAAGUCUAAGAUAAUUUAGUUUCGUGGACGAAACUAAAUUUAAGGGGUGGAGAAUGUAACAUACCGAAACCUCGGUAAUUAAAUUUGAAUCUUGGUCAAAUUGACCAAAGUGCGAGAUUGGUACACUUCGGAGAGACCGAAGGCGUCAAAUAAUGCAAAAUGCAUUACUGGAGAUCUUCGAGAGCUUCUGGAAAUCAAAAUCUGCAAAUUGCAGGUUUUGUGCUCUCGGGGACCGGUCCCGGUCCCUGGUGGGAGAGACCGGUCUCCGAACGUGUAGGCAGCGAGGUGGCUGAGAAAUUGGCUAAGUUCUGAAAAAUCAGCUCUCGGGAACCGGUCCUUGCGAGGAGAGACCGGUCCCCCAGAGACCGGUUCCAUCGAGGGAGACCGGUUGCAUCAUGCGCAGCCUGCGCAGUCCGCGGGAGAAGCUCUCGGGGACCGGUCUCAGGUCGGGGAGACCGGUCCUUCACUGCGGAAAAUGCCCAGUUUGGGCAGUGCACAGGGAAUAAAGUGGAGGGGCCUUGUUGUAAAUGUUACAACACCUUAUAUACCCAACCCCCUCUCCUUCUACAGCCAUUCACACCUCUCCCUCUCAUUUUCUCUCCUCUCUCUCUCUCUAGAAAUCACCUAGGGCUUGAAGGAGAAGGAGAAGAAGAAGAAGAAGAAGAAGCUUGAGGAGGGAUUUUUGGUGGACUUGGUGGGUCUAGGAGCUCUCCAACAAGAAGGAGCUUGCUAGAUCUUGGGCCAAGGUAAGUUUUUAGCAUGUAGAGCUCUAGGGUUUGGAGUUUAACCUUAGAUUUUGGAGUUUUGGUGUCACGCCCCGGGACCGGCGGAGGCCCUCCCGGUAGCGUGCCCAGACCCGCCAUAUGUCUACACAUAUAAGGCGUCUAGAAUAAAAGCGGAAGUAAAGGCAAGCAGGAGAACAAAUAGAAGAAGUGAAAUAACAAGCAACUAAUGAUAUCAGAGCGAGUGAAGUUCUAACAUCUAUACUAAUAGUAAUAGAGCAUAACUAAAACAUAAAAGUAAACAUAAGUUAUACAGUAUCAGCCUCUAAUACAAAAAUGGUGGUCUCUAGUACACUGGUAAACUCUCGACCUCUCCAAAAUAAAGUACAACGAGAGGUAGACCACCUAGCAAAACGUCCUCGAAGGAAGCUAGCUCGAAGCAACUCCCUUCCCGCGGUCCCUGGCCUCACCCUGAGUGGAAGGCUCUGAAAAACAUCGAGAAAAAGAGGGCGUGAGAACUAUAAUUUAUAGUUCCCAGUGGGCAAUUACUGANNNNNNNNNNNNNNNNNNNNNNNNNNNNNNNNNNNNNNNNNNNNNNNNNNNNNNNNNNNNNNNNNNNNNNNNNNNNNNNNNNNNNNNNNNNNNNNNNNNNNNNNNNNNNNNNNNNNNNNNNNNNNNNNNNNNNNNNNNNNNNNNNNNNNNNNNNNNNNNNNNNNNNNNNNNNNNNNNNNNNNNNNNNNNNNNNNNNNNNNNNNNNNNNNNNNNNNNNNNNNNNNNNNNNNNNNNNNNNNNNNNNNNNNNNNNNNNNGGGGAGUCACUCGUCACAACUCCGUCGGACUCCGUUGGCCAGGGACCGUCCGCUCUGGCCAAGGGCUUGCGCAGAAGCGUCACCCUCUGGCCAGGGCGCGUCCCUCUCUGGCCAAGGGCUUGCAACCUAAAAGCCCAAGCGUCGCUCUCUGGCCAGGGACGACCCCUCUCUGGCCAGGGAGACCCGCUUUUGACGGGUCAAGCCCGACUACAUUUUAACCCAAAAACUCCCCGGAGAACCCUAGAACAAUGUGAUCUACCCGAAUAAUCGGUAAAGUGAGGGAAGGGAGGAGUAAAGAGUGGUGGGAUGUGGAAGAUCUCUCUCUUCUUCUUCUUCCUCCUCUUCUUCUUCUCCUCGAUCAAACUUCCUCGAACCUCGAGUUGGGGAAAGAGAGAAAGGGUGGAAACGUUCCGAACCUCGAACGAACUUCCCGAACCACCACCUGGUUAGAAGUUGGGAUCUUCUAAAACCCGAACCUAACUUCGAAGGUUUCCCAAUCAUAGUACAAAGGGAGGAGAUCUAAGAACAAAAACACUAAAAACCCUCUACUUUGGGAUCUUUACUCUAAAUCCCGAAUAAAACCCGUAAAAACUAGAUCCCGAAAACCUGGGUUUAGCUAACCGAAUCUUGGAAGGAUCCCGAACCUAACCUUCCCAAGAUCGAGAGAAAACCUCGAAACCUUCUCUAAAGAUGAGAACUCCACUCAAAACCGAAAAAGCGAAGAUCCAAUUACAACUAUAAUAUUCUACCAGCAUUACGGGAGCAUAGAGAAGCGACUAAUGAAAAUCCCAUAAAACUCUGAGCCCCUGUUGAACCAAGCCGCUCCGCUCCGAGAUGCGCUGCCAAGCCACCCAAACUGGAUCGGUGUGUUUCUCUUUAAGAGUAAACACGAAUUAAUUCACAACAAUUUACUUUUUCGUACGUAUAAGAACAAUAUACAUAAAUAACACUUAAAAUCUUACGAAUUUUCCGGAUACGAUAUAUAUUACUUUAAAACCUGGAGAUACAUCAUCUCUCAUCGAAUAAUCCGGUAUCAACGUAAAUCGUAAGAUACACUCUGCACCAUAGUACGAAGAUAUCAUAUUUACUCAAGCCUAAGUACGCAAAUUUGGAUUCAAAUGAACACUGCACUUUUAACUGUUCUAACUGUAAAUCUUCGAUACCCUUAAUCUCUCGAUUACAGUAGUUCGCCGUAACUCGAGCCCUGUACACACUUGGAUCACCUAUCCCGGUAGCUCCCUGAACCCUAUGUACAACCUGUGGUUUAACGGAUUCACAGUAAUUCCCCGUGAUCCGCACCGUUUACAACUUUGAAGUAUAACACUAAAUUUGAUCUAGAAACCCUACGAUCACUGGAAUGGUACAAUCUCUGUACUCUUAAACUAUAAACUCUGAACCUGAAACGAACGAACGGUAAACACGAGUAAGCGUGUACGAACACUCCCAGCGAGGGAUGUUCGGCCGUGAGGCCUCAAUCGGAUACGCUGAAUACAAGCGAGCACGCCAUAGCUCUUCGGAUGCCCCAGCUCACCCUGUCUGUGUAAGGUACUCAUCCUUACAGUCCGAUGGUGUCCGUGAAUCCGCCGUGUUCGACCUGAUGGAACCCAUCCAGGGAUUAACCUUUACCUUUAGCUGUGUCAAACUCUUACUUGUGAGGGAUGAUCAAUCCGAAUCAUCAACCUCAUGUAAAUGUACGUAUAUCGUAUCUCAACUCUGUACAUCAUGUGAACUGUCAAUGGAUAAAGUAGUAUCAUAUGAACCAACGGUGCUAUCUCGAAUAUGUAGUACAAACUUAUUUCCCAACAUAGUCAUUUGAUAACAGUAACCAAUGAAAAGGGGAUACUAUCUUAUAUUCAUGUUAUAAAACUGUAGCACGAAUACUCCCUAAAUAAUCAUAUCGUUAAAUGAAUACGUGAGAGGAAGUCGUCAAAUAAAUGUACGAGGAAGGAUAACGAAUAAUGAUAAUCGUAAUGAAUGGACCGGUCUCUCCUUCCAGGGACCGGUCCCCGAGAGUGAAAACUCUCAGGACUUGUCCAGAAUUUCAGUUUUCAAACUUUUCGGGUCGGGAAACAUUUUACAACCCUCCACCAGGUGUGGAAAAGCUCGAAAUACAUCCAAACACUCGAACCUCGCAAUUUGCAAAGGUCCAGUGUGUUACAUUUGGUCUCUUUAGAGACUUUAGAAGAGUAGUAGAGCUAUGAACACCAUGAAACUCUAGUUUUCUUCAUGGUGCUCUAAUGGAGGAUUUUUAGGGUUUACAUUUUAAGCCCUAGAGAUCGUUGGGAUGGUUCUAAAUGAGCUUCUAGAGGUUAAACAAGCUCUCUUUUGCUUGUUUUAGAGAUCAAAACCUAGAGUUUAGCAAUGGGUUUGGUUAGGGCACCAAAUUUUGGGCUUUUGUCCCCGAGUGUUUCUAAGGCAAAUUGACUUUGUAGAAACCUAAUUGGGAGUACUCCCGACGCGUGGGACAACUCCGUUUAACAUUACGAAAAGGUUUAGAUGGAGUUAUUGAUAAAAAGCCUGAUUCGGCUUCGUUUUGCCACAGGCGAAAAAUUAAAGCUUCAAAAAUUCCAUGAAAUUCACCGUAGCAUCCUCUCAAUCUUCUAGGUGGGUGGUGCAUUCCAAGGACCUCGAAAAUCUCUUUAUGUCUAAAGUGUCAUGUUUGAACAUAUAUGUAUAUAUUGAGCAUGUUGGAUAGUAGGGUUAAUUGUGAAUUUAAUUUCGUAUGAAAUACUUGUAAGAAUGUGAAUGGAUCGGAGGCUACCUGAUUAUCCCGGUAUUCUACUUGUAGAAAUGAAGUGGAAUUGAAUCAGAUCGGACUUCGGGGAACUCGCUAAAGUAAAGGGCUACUGGCACUGAAACUGGUUUGCGUGAUAACGUUCUGUCGAGGAAGGACUUUAUUCGCAAUGGGAAUAGGCUAGCCCGCACAAGACUUGCCCGUACACUGCCCCUUCUUCUUCCCAUUACUUAGGGAUUUUCUUAGGCUUCUUGAACCGACACUUGAACUUCAAUCGAGUGGCGAAUCUACCUUUGAUAAAAGUCCUGCCUUUCAACACCUGAGAUGAGAACUGAACUUGCAGUGGCACUUGAACUGUUGACUCUCCCAACUCGUUGAAACCCGCCUAACGAACUUGCAACCAACUAGCUCACUGGAAAAGACCUUUUAUUGAUUCCCAAAGGAAUGCCUUUCGACUGGAAAGAAGAGUUUGACUUUUUUCCAGGCAUAGGUCAAAUGGAUUUCUUCCGCGUGACAGCCGAUAGUCUUCUUGGGCUUUUGCUUUCACUCUCUUUUCACUCCAGACUCACUGGCUUGAAACCAACAGGAUGGUUAGAUAAUUCAUUCACUUUAGAGGUCAACACUUCUGGUGCUUUACUUGGUGAUAACCCUAUUUAUGCAUGACAAGUGACAAGAUCCUAGGAGGGUUAGUGAACAAAAGUGACACAUGGACAUAGAUCUAGUGAGUGACAUUGAUGAGUCUAUAACACCUAGAAAUACAAGUGUGGCAUUUGGCAUGAGAACAAGAACAUAGCACUUAAAAAAUAAGUGUGGCAUGAGUACAAGAAUUUAGUGGUGCAUAUGACACUAGCGAUAGUAAAGAAUGCAAAGAAAAGAAUGAUUGAGACAUUAUGACAUUUCAACCUUAGAGUUAAGGGUCAUUGAGCAUGGUCUUCCUUAAAGUAAGGAAUGGAUUGAACUUGGAAUCCUCAAUGUAGGAUUGAUCGUACUCACCUUUAGUCCUUGCUCGAGGGUGGUAGCUCCCCCUCGGACGAUGUGCUCCGGAGUCGACAUCACUGGGUCGUAGCGGAUAUCUCCCCAGAGGACGGUCCUAUCGGGUUGUAGCGGGUAUCUCCCCGGUUAAUAGGAUUUUAGGUUGGUGAGUUUGUUGAGGGCGAAAUCUACGGGUUAGCCAAGAGAUUGGGUAAAGAAAUUGUGAUCCUGCAUCCAUCAUGAGCAUUAUAUCGAGCAUCGCAUUUUAUAUUGUUCAGGCAUAUUAGUUGCAUUUAUUAGCUGGUUACUUUCUUUCCUCUAUUCUAUUAUGCCUGAUUAGACCUAGUGGGAUAGUCGGCGUGGUUGAUUGCCGAACCCACUGGGAACUUUGUUGUAGUUCUCACACCCCUAUUUCCAUAGAGCCAGGACCGAGUGAGCCGGCAGACGACCGCGGUAAGGGCAUCGCGCCCUAGGUAGAGACCACCCGAGAUGUUCUAUUUCAUAGUUGCAUACCCUUUGAUAUAUCAUCUUUUGUAUUUGAUGGUUUUAGCACCAUGAACAUAUUUAAAUGAAUGAUGUAAAUGAUACUUACUUUAGAUGUCAAAUGUUAUAUUUUGGAGAUAUGAGAUGUAAAAAGAAAUGAUGAAAGAGCUGUAAUAGAACUUGAUAAGUAGUAAACAUGUAUGUGAUUUAAAAUUAAUCAUAUUACUUGUUGUUGUUAGUUUAGCACUUUCACUAUUGGCUAUUGCUUGCCCUCGUGCAAGCCAUUGUGUAUGCUUCCGCUUAUGCAAUCCUUAUACUCUAUUGAUGCUUGUUGUUGAGCCUUGGGCGGACAGGGGAGGCUCUGUCCGUUCAGCGUCUGUUCGACGCUCUUGAACCGGCCGAAAGGAUCGGGCUCGGGGCGUGACAAUAGUUGUUUUGCUACUAUAGUAGAUAUUCAUGUAUCCUUUCUGUUCUAAUUACAGUAGCGGUAGCCGUUAUUCAGUAUAGUUCCUACUUUCUUUCAGUUUAUUGCUACUGUAUUCAGUAUAUCUGCUCAUUUUCUUGUCUAUCUCUUCCUGAUCUGGUGAGUACUCAUCGCCUUCAUGAGCUUGCGGUACCCACUGGGAGGGGAGACAUGUUUACAUGUUCUUACCUCCCCCACUAUUUUUCAGAUAUUGCGGGCGGUGAGCUUAAGACGAGACGUGAGACAUGUGGAUAGCCGUCGAUAGAACUUUUGACCCGGUUUGUGUAGUUUAGUUACUACCUUUGUUAUUUCUGUUGAUAUGACUUAGACACCUAUAUGGUUUAGCAUUUCAUUAUGUUUAAUUAUUUAAGAUUUCAGUUGGUUUUCCGAAUGAGAUAAAGAUUUUUGAAUUUUUGUAAAAAGGAAAGGUUUUCUACCCCUCGUGGUGCGUGUUUUAAAAAGAAAAGGUUUCUGUGUGGGAAACAACUUUCAAAAGAGUUUUCUCAUGGUUUUCUUGAAUUAGUAUUUCAAAAUAAGUUUCUGGGUAGGAAACGUUUCAACUGAUAGUUGUGGAUUUAUAUUCAGAUCUAUGUUUAUGAACCUGUGGUGAAUGGUGUAUGGAUAUUGAAUGUAUGAUGACUUGUAUAUUCAUUUAGUUGUGGUUGUAUCCUGUUUUACAUCUUGUACUUGUGCGACGCCGUGCAAAUACAGGGGAGACUCUGUCCGUGUGAACAGUGGAAUCCCUGUAUUUGUGGCGGAUCUGGUAUACCCUGGGGUCAGGUUUUAAAAAAAAAAAUUUCUAGUCACUUCCGCUGUAUUUUCAAACUAAAAGGUACCCCAGGGCGUGACAAUUUGUUGGGUUUAUAAUAAUUACACAGUUGCUACUAUUUGUUCUGCUAUCAUUUUCCUUACCAAAUUUUGGAUUGCAAAAUCAUAUAUAUUUUUCUGCAUUUUGUGAGGAUCUAUUUGUUAAGCAGUCUAAAAGUACUAUUUUGCUUGAUAAUUGCUAGGUACGUCCCUUUUAUUCAUAUGUUUCUCAUAUUAUACUAAACGUUGCACAUUUUCUACAUCGAUUUGUUUUUAUUAUUGAAUGUAAAAUGGUUUCUUCCAUUUUUCUAUUUACGUUUUACGUUUUUCUAGGGCAUCGUCAAAUAAUUAAUAAAUGGAUUGCAAAGUAAUGUGCAAAGAAAGGCGGAAACUUCGUAAAUCUAUUCUCGAUAGGCGUAGAAAUAAUGUGGGGUUUUCGGCCACGACAACUUUGCCUGGCAAUGAUGAAUAUUUGUCUUUGCAUUGUCAAUUAACUGAUAUUUCGCGAAGAAAACAAAAACGAAAUUCGGAAGAUGACAAAUUACCUGUUGCUGCAACAUAUAAAGGGCAAGACAUAGAAGAUUAAACCUUGGGUUGCAAGAAUAUGAAUGCCAGUCGUGCGGUGCUCUAUUUUGGUAUGAUGAAAGGAUCAAAUCUGGCAAUGAAAAUAUUCCUCGAUUUUCACUUUGUUGUGGUGAUGGCAAAAUUUCUCUACCAUUAUUGCGAGAAACCCCUGAUAUACUAGAUCAUUUACUGAACUAUAUUCGGAGUGCUUACUCAGUAAAUUUUUGAGAAAAUAUUUGUGUGUACAAUUCUAUGUUUGCAUUUACAUUGAUUGGGGCCAAAAUUGACAAUGAAAUAAAUAGAAAAUCGGGUCCUUACAUAUUCAGAAUUACUGGACAAAAUCACCACAGAAUGGGUUCUUUGCUACCUGUUGAUGGAGAACGGCCCAAAUUUGCUCAUUUAUAUAAUUAUGAUACGGAAAAUGAAAUUGAAAAUAAAAUGCAGGCAUUUAAUGCGUCUGAUGAACUUCAAAAAAUUGAUAGAAAUAUUGUUGGACGCCUUCUAGAAAUGUUCGAUAUCAAAAAAUGUGAUAGUAAAAUCAUUCAGAAUGGCAAGGGACCGAUUUAGAGAAAAUGAUUAUUUGCCUAUUCGUUUGCGAUUGAUCGGAAGUCGAGUUGACAGAUCACAAUAUAAUCCUCCCUCAUGUUCUGAGAUUGCUGGAUAAAUAAUUGGUGAUUUUGGUAGUGCAGAUCGUCAACGAGAUAUUAUGGUUGAGCACAAAAUGGAAGGACUAAAGCGAAUAAGUGAUUUGCAUCCUUCAUUCAUGACUAUAUAUGUAGUAUCCUGUAUUGUUUCCGUAUGGAGAUGAUGGUUUUAGAAUUGGCAUCAAAUAUAAUAAUGAUUCACGAAGAAAAGUUGUUCAAGGAAAUGUGUUACAAUGCGUGAAUUUUAUACUUACAGAAUACAAAAUCGAAUAAAUGAAGGAAAGACACUAAUAAGAAGAGGUAGACUUUGUUGGCCUAGUAGCCUUAAUCUUCUAUUAGAUUUUGAUGAUAACAAAUAAUUACGAUUAUUGGACUAAUCUUUUAUCUUGAGUUUUAUGUUUUAGAUCUCUCGAUAUUCAGAAAGGAUUCAAGAUGGGCAAUAUCCUAGCACCAAGCUUCACCACUUGAAGCUGUAUUUGCUUCCUUUGUCAAAUAGACAAACUCACUCUCUCCAUUCUUAAUUUGCUUCCUUUUACCUUAUGAUUAGAGUGAGAAAUUUUGAGCUAAGUUUAAACUAUUCAUUUUAUCACCUUAUAGAUCACUUAAACAAAUUCCUAACUUGUGAUUAGGUGAAUAGAAUUUUUAAAUAUUCAAAAACUGCUCAAAUUCUAUGUUUUGUCAAAUUAAAAUUUCUGGAUCCUGUUCUGAGCGCCCUAAAGUGGAUCCGAAUCUUUUGAGACCUUUUGGAUCCUCCCUGUUUGCUGUUCGGGUGAUCCAGAAACACCGAGACUAUUUGACUUGACAGGUUGCAUAUCAGCGCGCAAUCUGGGCGCCCAGAUUUUAUGGAAGCAGUGGCGCACGCAAUAUGGACUGUCUGGCAAGAAAGUCAGCACGAGAUCUGGGCGCCCACAACUUUUGAUGGCUCGAAUCCAGAAAAACGGCGCGUGUCAGAAAAGCGGUUCCUCGUGUUCUGUGCGCCCACAACUUUUGAUGGCCCAGAACUUACGAAGUCAAGAAAAGCUGCGAGUGUCAGAAAAGCUGUCCCUCAAGAUCUGGGCGCCCACAACUUUUGACGGCCCAGACAUACAAAGUCAAGAAAAGCGGCGCACGUGGUCCGACAGGCAGUUGGCGUGCACAAACUUCUGGGCGCUCGGAAACAGUUUUAGGGCACCCGAAAGUACAACCGACAGAGGCUGCCCGAGGCUAUAAAUAGAUGGUAUUGAGGCAUCUCUCAGUAGCAACUUGAUAGUUUAUUUUGAGCUUAAAAACUUCAGUGAUCUUAACACUCUUAGCUCUCAAUUUUCUCUCUAAACUUGAAUGAAAUUUGUAGUGAGAUUUAAUCUUGUAAAAAGAAAGAAAAGCAAAGUCUUGAAGCUUGAAAGAAGAAGGAGUUGGUGUGAAGGCUUGGUGCUUGCUCGCAAAAGCAUCAUCUAGUGGAGAUCAGACAUUCUCGAGUGUUGAGAAGUUGGCGGGGACGUAGGCAAAGUGCCGAACCUCGAAACAAAUUGAUCGUGUGCUUUUCGAGUUUGCAUUUCCUUUAUUUGCAUCGGUUUUUAAUUUGCUUGAUUAUUUGGAUUUUUAUUUUAGAAACCUAAUUCACCCCCCUCUUAGGUUGCCAUUUUGAUCUUCAAUUGGUAUCAGAGCGAGGUCUCACAUUAUUUAGAUUAAAUUCUAAGUGAGAAUGGCAUCCACGGGAAAGAAUAUCGAAGGACAAUCUAUUGUUCGACUACCAUUUUUUGAUGGGACCGAUUAUCCUUUUUGGAAGACUAGAAUGAAGAUAUUCUUUCAAUCUCUAGAUUUUGAUAUUUGGGAUAUAAUCGAAAGUGGUUAUAUCGCUCCAUCAAAAUCAAGAGCGGAAUGGAAUGAAGCCGAAAAAUUUCGCUUUCAAUUGAAUGCUAAAGCUAUCAAUUCAUUCCUUUGCGCUCUUAGUAGAGAAGAGUUUCACCGAAUCUCUACAUGCACAACGGCUUAUUCUGUAUCCUAACUCGAAACGAGGAGCUCCGUUUAAACCCGUUGAAACAAAAGGCUAAGUAGUAGCGAUCUAAGCAGCCCCCGCAGGGUUAAAUCACGUAACUUCCGAAAGAAAAAGAACAGAAAGAAUUUUCAAAACAAACCUUCUCACGUAAGUGAAAAGUUUACAGGGCCAAAGAAUGUUAACAUCGUUCACUAAGGAAAGAACUUAGGAAGUGGAAACUUGGGCAGAGCAAAUCCAGAGGAGUUCAACGCGAAGAACUAAUCAGCUAGCUCGGAAAAACUUUAGUAUCGCUAAAGAAGCGAGCUUGGAAGAAGCGGUAGAAGUGAGAGCCUUCGUUACUGAGGGAAUUCACGUUCUGAAAAGAAAAAGAGUCCUUGUCGAAGCAACAGUAUAAGAAACUCCGCAACAAGUACGCGGAACUCACUAGGUUGUUCAAGUAGUUAAAAAUGAAACAGGUUCAGUACUCGAAGAACCUAUCGGCAUUGGAAUCCAUAGGUUGAAGAACCAUCAUGUGUUUCUUCAAAAGCAUGGUUCAGGCUAAUUCCUUUUAGGAAUGGAUUCCGAAAGUUCGAUAAAUAUUACAAUCAUUUAGAACACUUGUAUAAGCUUUACCUAAGUGAAAGAAGGUAAAACUUAUCAAGUAUUAAACUGUAUUCGUACAAAUAAAAUCUAAGGAAAUGGGAUCUUCAUGGAAGUACUCAUUGAAGAUUAAAUAGGGUUUAGAGAAANAUAAUUUAAGUUAUGAUGAACUUUUAUAAGCUUUCUUUUCUUUAUAUGAUAAUCUACAAAGUUUGGGUCUGAAAUAUACAUCUCUCAAAAAGUAAAAUGCCUUAUUAGAGAUGGAAGUAAACAACUUAAAAUCUUCAACUUCAAAUCCUUCUUUAAUACCUGAAAAUGAGGACCCCUUACUCACGAAAGAGCUUAAACAAGCCAAUGAGACAUGUUAUAGUCUCAAUCAUGAAAAUGAAGCAUUAAAGAAGAAAAUUGAAGGUCAAAAUUUUAAGCCAAACUUUCAUUAUGACAAACAACUUGAAAAACUUCAAGUUGAAAACCAACAACUCAAAGUUAGCUUAGAUGAAGCUAAGAAAAUAAACUCUUGAGAAAUUUGUUGGUGGAACCAAGCAUCUAAAUAUGAUGCUUGGAAGUCAAGUUGUAAACUUCAAAAAGUUUGGGAUAGGUUAUGUUCCUAAUCCAAACAAUGUUAAAUUGACAAAAGCUAAAAAAAGGUUUCUGUUAAAAGUACAAAUCAAAACCCAACUUUGCAUUGCUCCUAUUGUAAUAUUAAAGGACAUCAUAUAUCCUCUUGCAAAUAUAAGAAGAAUCCUAAACUUAACCAAAUUUGGGUUGUGAAAGGUUUAUCUAACUCAAAAGGACCCAAUCUCACUUGGGUACCAAAGUUAAAAACUUGAUUUGUUUUUGUAGGUGUGUCUCCAAUCAAAAGGUGCAAGUGACAAAUGGUACUUAGAUAGCGGAUGCUCAAGACACAUGACUUGGGAUCAAACCAAGUUUAAAUCAAUUGAAAUGAAAGACGGAGGAUUUGUCACCUUUGGAGACAACACGAGAGGAAAGAUCAUUGGAAUCGGCACAAUCGGUGAUGAAAAGGUUAACAUUUCCAAUGUUCUUUUAGUUGAUGGCCUUAAACAUAAUUUACUAAGUAUUAGUCAAUUAUGUGAUAAAGGCUAUUUUGUAAAAUUUGAAGCAUCUCAUUGUAGCAUCCUUGAUCCUUCUACAAAUGAGGUAGCUUUUAUGGGUUUUAGAUCCAAGAAUGUUUAUACCGUUGAUUUAGGCAAACUCUCACAUGAAGGUGAAAAAUAUUUUUCGGUUCAAACUAACGAAUCUUGGCUUUGGCAUAGAAGAUUAGCACAUGCUAAUAUGGACUCUCUUUCUAAACUUUCCAAAAGAAAACUUGUGAAAGGAUUACCUAAAAUAGACUAUGCCAAAGGUGAGGUUUGUAAUGCUUGUGCUCAAGCUAAGCAAGUAAAAUCAUCUUUUAAACCCAAAAAUGUUGUCUCAACAACUAGGCCUUUAGAGUUAAUUCAUAUGGAUCUCUUUGGACCAAUUGAUGUCUCUAGCCUUGGUGGAAGCAACUAUGUUUUCGUAAUUGUUGAUGAUUACUCAAGAUUUACUUGGACUUUAUUUUUAAGACACAAGUAUGAUACUUUUAAAUCCUUCAAGGACUUUGUCUAUCGUGUUCAAAAUGAAAAGAAUUGUAUAAUUUCCAAAAUUAGAAGUGAUCAUGGAGGUGAAUUCGAAAAUCAUAACUUUGAAGAGUUUUGCAAUGAAUUGGGAAUAGAACAUCAAUUUGCUACCCCUCGAACACCUCAACAAAAUGGGGUCGUUGAACGCAAAAAUAGAUCUCUCCAAGAAAUGGCUAGAUCUAUGUUAAUUGAGGGGGAGUUGCCUAAAUAUUUUUGGGCCGAAGCCGUAAACACGGCUUGCUAUAUUAUGAAUCGUGUUCUAAUUCGACCAAUCCUUGAGAAAACUCCUUUCGAAUUAUGGCAUAAUAGAACUCCCAAUAUUGGUUACUUCAAAAUUUUUGGUUGUAAAUGUUUCAUUUUAAACACAAAAGACAAGUUGGGAAAGUUUGAUGCUAAAUCCGAUGAAGCUAUAUUCUUGGGUUAUUCCUCUACUAGUAAAGCUUAUCGAGUGUAUAAUCGACGAACUUUAAUAAUAGAGGAAAGUAUGCAUAUUCUUUUUGAAGAAUAUAAGGGAAAGGAUCUUUCUUAUGAAGAUGAUCUUCUUGACUUUGAGAAGCUAAAUAUAAACUCCACACCCCAAGAAGUUGAACCAUCUAAGAAAAGUGAGGAGUUAAUCUCUAAAGAGAUUGAACCCACUCCCUUACCUAAAGUGUGGAAAUUCGCCACUUAUCAUCCCAAGGACUCCAUCAUUGGAGAUCCAAGUCAAAAAGUCAAAACAAGAUCCUCUCUUAGAUUACUUUGUGACCACUUGGCUUUCAUAUCUCAAAUUGAACCUAAAAAUUUUGUUGAAGCUAGCAAUGAUGAAAAUUGGCUCAUUGCGAUGCAAGAAGAACUUAACCAAUUUGAGAGGAACCAAGUUUGGACGCUUGUGGAAAGGCCAAGUGAUCAUACCGUUAUUGGCACUAAAUGGGUCUUCCGAAACAAGCGAGAUGAAUCAGGUGUUGUGGUUCGAAACAAGGCUAGACUAGUGGCCCAAGGUUUCAACCAAAUUGAAGGAAUUGAUUUUGAUGAAACAUUUGCACCGGUUGCUAGACUUGAAGCUAUUCGAAUUCUUCUAGCAUUUGCUUCUUAUAUGAAUUUCAAAUUAUUUCAAAUGGAUGUAAAAAGUGCUUUCUUAAAUGGAUAUAUUUCCGAAGAAGUUUAUGUUGAGCAACCACCCGGUUUUGAAAAACAUAACUUUCCGGAUCACGUUUUUAAGCUUUCAAAGGCACUUUACGGUUUAAAACAAGCUCCUAGAGCCUGGUAUGAAAGACUUAGCACUUUUCUUACUUCAAAUAAUUUUUCAAGAGGAAAAGUUGACACCACAUUAUUUAUCAAAAUUAAGGAUAAAGAUUUUCUCAUUGUACAAAUUUAUGUGGAUGAUAUUAUAUUUGGUGCUACUAAUGAAUCUCUCUGUAAAGAAUUCUCUAAGCUAAUGCAAAAUGAGUUUGAAAUGAGCAUGAUGGGCGAGCUCUCAUUCUUCCUUGGACUCCAAGUUAAACAAAUGAAAGAUGGAAUAUUCAUCAAUCAAGCCAAGUAUGCAAAAGACCUAAUCAAAAGAUUUGGCUUGGAAAGCUCAAAAGAGACGAACACUCCAAUGAGUGCCUCAACUAAACUUGACAAGGAUGAAAAAGGCAAGGAUGUUGAUAUCAAACUCUACCGAGGUAUGAUUGGCAGUUUACUUUAUCUUACCGCGAGUCGGCCGGACAUUAUGUUUAGUGUUUGCUUGUGUGCUCGGUUUCAAGCUCAACCUAAGGAGUCACACUUAGUGGCUGUAAAGAGAAUUCUUAGAUAUGUUAAAGGGACUCUCAACUUAGGGUUAUGGUAUCCCAAGGGCACUAAUUUUAAUCUCAUUGGCUUUUCAGAUGCCGACUUUGCCGGAUGCAAAGUUGAUCGGAAAAGUACGAGUGGGACUUGUCAAUUUCUUGGUCACUCCUUAGUCUCAUGGUCUUCGAAAAAGCAAAAUUCGGUUGCACUUUCAACCGCCGAAGCCGAGUACAUCGCGGCAGGUUGUUGUUGUGCACAAGUUUUAUGGAUGAAACAAACCCUUGAGGACUUUGGAGUACAUCAAAAACAAGUUCCAAUCAAAUGUGAUAAUACUAGUGCCAUCAACAUAUCUAAAAAUCCUAUUCAACAUUCUAGAACUAAACACAUUGAAAUUAGACAUCAUUUUAUUAGAGAUCAUAUUCAAAAAGAAGAUGUCACUAUAGAAUUUGUGGACACUUAUAAUCAAUUAGCGGACAUUUUUACUAAACCACUUAGUAAGGAUAGGUUCACUCAACUUAGAAGAGAAUUGGGAAUGAUUGACUUAUCUGCUUGAUUUUCUCUUUUUGAUUGACUGUUAUGAUUGCCUUGCAAUUUCUUUUGGAUACACCUUUUGCUUUGCGAAAAUUUCGGACGAAAAAUUUCGGUAGCCCGAAAAUUUCCGGGCGCCCGAAACAUGCGUUGACCGCGGUGCCCCGUCUGACCGACUUAACGGGUUACCGGGUUCCGGAUCCGGGCGACCGAUCCAACCGGCAACUCGUGCCCGAAAAUCCGCCUUGACCGCCGCGCCGCUUUGACCGCCUUAGCGGGUUCCGGGUUGCGGAUCUGGGCGACCGCGUCGACCCGCACGACCGCCCGAAACCCGCGAGGGGGCCCUCUUCCUCCCAGCCGCCCGACAGACCCAUUCCUUUCAUUUUUUUCUCUUUUUCUUCUCUUCUUCUUCCUCCACUCCGUCCGGUCGCCCAGAUUCUGCGCCCAGCCCACAUCAAAUCCGCCCAAAACUCCUCCAAAACUCGGAUUUCCUCUCCUUUCCUCCUCAGUCUGUGGUAUUUUCUUCUUCUUUUAUUUUAUUUUUCUUUUCUUUCUUCUUCCUGCUGCUUGUUAACUCUAACUUUUUUUUUGAUUACUUGUACUUUUUGCUAAAAAAAAUCUCAUCAUCCACCUUGAUCUACACUGAUCUUCCAUCUUGCUCAAUUUUUCUUUUGCAUAAAACCCUAGUUUCUUUUUUUUUCUUUUUCUUCCUGCUGUUAACCCCGACUAUGUUCUUCUUUUAUUUUUUUUACUGAUUUCUUGUAUUUUGUGCAGCAUAAUCUUUUCCUUUACCAUGAUCUUUACCAUUGCAUCCUAGAUCUUGCAUUUUGAUUCUAAGUUUAAAAAAAAAAAAAACCCUAGCUGUUAGUUUAUUUAAAAAAAAAAUGCCUAGAACUAAAAAUGCACCUCGUGGACCUUCACAAAGAGAUUAUCAAAAUGAAGAUUUUGAUGCUUUUAACUUUGUAUCUAGAGAAGCUCAAGAUAAAUAUCUUUUAGGUCGUCCCAUUCAACCUUGCUGUAACAUUUAUCAUCUAAACUUUGAUUGUUAUAAACUUUUAGAUAAGCUCACACAAGUUGGAUGGGAUUUCUUUGUUCAAAAUUCGUGACCUUUUUAUCCGGACUUAAUUAGGACUUUUUAUGCAAAUGCCACUUUUAAUUCCGAAUUUAAUACUAUUACUUCCCACUUCCGGGGACGUGUUUUUGCCAUCACUCCUAUCCUUCUUCACACUGUUUUAAACAUUCCAAACGACGGGGUUUGCUAUUACCAAACCAACACUUGGAAUUUUCCCGCAUUUUCUGAAGCGCAACUCCGCAAUCAUUUUCUCUGUGAAGAUUCUACUUCACGCGAAGAUUGCUCUCAUCUUUCCUUUCCUCACCGCCUCGCCCACUUUUCACUUACAAAAGUAGUUCUUCCUCGAGACGGUCACCACAUCGCUGUUCAAAAAAUGGAUAUUUUUCUACUUUAUCAUCUAUUUGCGGACAUCCGAGUUAAUUUGGGGUAUAUCAUCAUUCGCCACAUGGCCGUCGCCAUUUCUCAUCCCUCGCGCUCACUUCCAUAUGGCUCUUUGCUCACCGCUGUCCUCGAGUUCAUGUCGUUUGAUCUUUCCGACGUGAGGCCGAUGAAGUACCCCACUGUCAUUUCUACAGCCACUUUCUCCACUCUCAGCUUCAAGAAAAAUCGUCAUGGCAUUUGGGUAAGGAAACAUGUGAUUGAUUCGCCCAGCGAGCAUGGUGAUGACAUUGACGACGCCGAGGAUGAUCCUAUGCCUUAUGAGCCGCCCCCUCGAGCACCUUCUCCACCAGUUGAGCCGCCGCCACGGGCAUCUCCUCCACCCUUUGAGCCACCCCCUGCUAUGCCUCCGCCUUAUGCUCCUCCUCCUAUGGAUUUUCAAAACCAGGUUUUUACUUGACUUGAUAGGAUGGAAGAACAUAUGCACACAUUACAGACAGACGUUUCCGACAUCAAGGCAUACAUGGACUCUCUUUUUGGACCUUCUAGUGCCUUUUAUGCUGCGUAUGGACCCCACACUGAUCGACCAUCCUCCUCCACUAUGCCUCCACCAGUUUCGCCUACGGAUCAUGAGGACGAUGAAGGGGAUGACGAUGAUGAUGAUGAUUAGCUUAUGUUUCUACCACUUUUAUAUUUUUUUUGUGAUGACAAAGGGGGAGAACUUGCUAUGUGAUAAACUAUGCUAUGCUUGUGAUCUAUUUAUCUUUUAUUAUCACGUAUGCUAUGCUUGUGGUUUAUUAUGUUCUAUUAUGCUAUGUGAACCUCGUUUCCAUUUUGAUUUUUGCCUACAUGAUUGCUUACUUCCUUUAUUGUGAUAUAUGCUAUGCCUAUGAUUGUGUUAUAUGCUUGUUAAUUAUAUGCAUAUAUUUAGGGGGAGUAUUCUACUCUUUUCUAUUCAUUUGGAUAUUAUAUCACAUUAUUUGUCAUCAUCAAAAAGGGGGAGAUUGUUGGCCUAGUGGCCCUAAUCUUCUAUUAGAUUUUGAUGAUAACAAAUAAUUACGAUUAUUGGACUAAUCUUUUAUCUUGAGUUUUGUGUUUUAGAUCUCUCGAUAUUCAAAAAGGAUUCAAGAUGGAAAAUAUCCUAGCACCAAGCUUCACCACUUGAAGCUGUAUUUGCUUCCUUUGUCAAAUAGACAAACUCACUCUCUCCAUUCUUAAUUUGCUUCCUUUUACCUUAUGAUUAGAGUGAGAAAUUUUGAGCUAAGUUUAAACUAUUCAUUUUAUCACCUUAUAGAUCACUUAAACAAAUUCCUAACUUGUGAUUAGGUGAAUAGAAUUUUUAAAUAUUCAAAAACUGCUCAAAUUCUGUGUUCUGUCAAAUUAAAAUUUCUGGACCCUGUUCUGGGCGUCCUAAAGUGGAUCCGAAUCUUUUGAGACCUUUUGGAUCCUCCCUGUUUGCUGUUCGGGUGAUCCAGAAACACCGAGACUAUUUGACUUAACAGGUUGCAUAUCAGCGCGCAAUCUGGGCGCCCAGAUUUUAUGGAAGCAGCGGUGCACGCAAUCUGGACUGUCUGGCAAGAAAGUCAGCACGAGAUCUAGGCGCCCACAACUUUUGAUGGCUCGAAUCCAGAAAAACGGCGCGUGUCAGAAAAGCGGUUCCUCGUGUUCUUUGCGCCCACAACUUUUGACGGCCCAGAACUUACGAAGUCAAGAAAAGCUGCGAGUGUCAGAAAAGCUGUCCCUCGAGAUCUGGGCGCCUACAACUUUUGACGGCCCAAACAUACAAAGUCAAGAAAAGCGGCGCACGUGGUCCGACAGGCAGCUGGCGUGCACAAACUUCUGGGCGCCCGGAAACAGUUUUAGGGCGCCCGAAAGUACAACCGACAGAGACUGCCCGAGGCUAUAAAUAGAUGGUAUUGAGGCCUCUCUCAGUAGCAACUUGAUAGUUUAUUUUGAGCUUAAAAACUUCAGUGAUCUUAAGACUCUUAGCUCUCAAUUUUCUCUCUAAACUUGAGUGAAAUUUGUAGUGAGAUUUAAUCUUGUAAAAGAGAAAAGCAAAGUCUUGAAGCUUGAAAGAAGAAGAAGUUGGUGUGAAGGCUUGGUGCUUGCCCGCAAAAGCAUCAUCUAGUGGAGAUCCAACAUUCUCGAGUGUUGAGAAGUUGGCGGGGACGUAGGCAAAGUGCCGAACCUCGAAACAAAUUGAUCGUGUGCUUUUCGAGUUCGCAUUUCCUUUAUUUGCAUCGGUUUUUAAUUUGUUUGAUUAUUUGGAUUUUUAUUUUAGAAACCUAAUUCACCCCCUCUCUUAGGUUGCCAUUUUGAUCCUCAGACUUUUUCAACAAUAUUUAGUUGAUGCAUUCUCAUGUAUUGAAGAAGACUGGCUUGAUUAUAUUAGGAGAAAUCAGGCAGAUUUACAGUCAGAAAUUUACAAAGGAAAUAAGGAUGCUGUUAUUGCAGGUGAUAUUGAUAGCAAUGCUAUUUGGAAAAAAAUAAUACUACCAGCGAGCUUCACUGCUGGCCCCCGUUAUAUGAUUCAGAAUUACCAAGAUGCACUUGCUACCUGUUGGCAUUGUGGCCAUGCUGAUUUGUUCAUAACUUUUACCUGUAACACACAAUGUCGACAGAAUUUCCAUGUAAAUCAAUUCCAUAUAUUUUGAACCCUAAACUCGACACCCGAAAUCAACAACGCAUCAUGCCUAGCAACAAAGAACAAAAUGUUAAAAUUAAAGGGAGUCGUUAGAAUGGCCUAUAAGUAACAGAAAUUUUACACAUUUUUAUUUAGAAUAAUUACCUAUAUACCCUUUAGAACUUUUGAAAUAUCUUAUUUAUCGCUAUUUUUUUUUCUUUUCAAUAUAUCUCUCAUAUAUUCCUUCAUUAUUCCAAAAUACCUCUACAGUUACCAUCCGUUAAGUUAAUUUGAGUUAAACGUAAGUUAAAUAUUUACUAGAGUUAAAAAAAAAAAAUCAAAAUGCCUCUUUUGUUCUUAACUUAAAGGGCAAAUAAGAAAUAUUCGUGAUGAUAGAAGGAUAUAUUUGAAAAGACCAAAAAUCAAAAUACUUUGUGUACUCCUAACUUAAAGGCAAAUAAGAAAAGUCGGUGAUGGCGAAGGAUUUUUUUACAAAGUAAUCCUCUAAAAUUUGAUACUUUGCAAAAUAAUCCUCUUCAAAUUAUAUUUGGAAAACUAACCUUCCUUUUGCCAUGCAGGUGCCAGGGUGGAGAUUUUAUUUGAAGACGAUGAAUCAUUCUCCGCCUUGUGAAUCAUUCACCUUCUUUCGCUUAUUUACUGUUUCUUUCUAUUUCUCAUAUAUAAUAUUAACAACCACAUAAAAAUUUUAACAAAUUUGUCACGCCCCGGGGUCCCUUUUUUGAUUUAAAAGCAAUGCGGAAGUGGCCAAAUUUUUUUUAAAAAACCUGACCCCCCAGGGUAUGCCAGAUCCGCCACAAAUACAGGGAGUCCACUGUUAACGCGGACAGAGUCUCUCCUGUAUUUACACGGCAUCGCACAAGUACAAGAUAUACGAUACCAAAUACAACCACCACAUAUGAACAUCCACAUAUCCAUACACCAUUCACAUUCAUAUUUAUUUCAUCAUAAAUUUCUAUAAAUCCACAUCUAUCAGUUUAAAAUGUUUCCUAUCCGAAAACUCGUUUUAAAACACGUAGUCAUGAAAACCAAGAAAAACCUUUUUAAAAACUGUUUCCUAUACGGAAACCUUUUCCUUUUAAAACUCGCUACCACGAGGGGUGGAAAAUCAUUUUCAGUUUACAAGAAUUCCAAAUCCUUUAUUGCAUUCACGAAACCCAAAAAUUUAAUUCACAUAAAAUACUGAACCAUAAAUGCUGUCUAAGUUAUUUAUUUAAAGAAACUGAGUUUAGAGUUUAAACCAAUGGACGGAUCCGAAAGCUUUACCGAACCGCUAAAUACGCUCCUCACGAACCGUCCCACUAGGAACCGCGACGUCACCUGUGAUGGGGGUGGGGUGUGAGAACAUGUAAACAUGUCUCCCCUCCUAGUGGGUACCGCACACCGACGAGGGCGAGGGGUACUCACCAGUCAAGGAGAAUAAACAAAGGUAUGGGUAAGUGUAAUACAGUAGCAACAAUAAUAAAUGAACGGUAUAUAUAUAUAUAUAUAUAUAUAUAUAUAUGAACAACUACCGCUACUGUAUAUAUGCAUCAACCGGAUGACAAGUCCAAAAAUACCCAAUUUGAAAUCUGUGCUCUGUUGGUAAGCACCGCAGACCUCAAGCUGUGCCCGGUUGGUCCGCACCGCAAACCUCAUGUUGUGCCUUGUUGGCCUGCACUGCAGACCUCAAGCUGUCACUCUACCUGCAUAUAACCAAAGGUAGCCUAUGGGCUCACGGGUUGGCACCUCCAACUGCUUUUUCGGAAAAGAAUACCUUUUUGCGGAGGAUCAGAUCGUUGGUGUUCGUGAAAUGUGUACGAGUAUCGGGCGAUCAAUGCUGAUAUGCUCAAUAGUCAACCGUUGGCAACCAACUGACAAUCCUACCCCUCAGGGUAUACCGACCGUAUAGGUCAUCGAACCGUAAGGAACAUAAGUACCGACCACUCAGGUCAACUAAGAUGGAACAACUCGACAUCCUUCUGAAGAUAUACAGGUACCGACCUGUCACGCCCGGAUAUCAGCGGAAGUGUCACGCCCCGGGACCGAUACCAAUUUGGGCCGGCCCGAGCACGUCAAACAGACGCCGAACGGACAGAGUUUUUCCUGUCCGCCCAAGGCUCAUCACCUGUACAUUUUCAAAAAAGAAGUGCACUAGCGGAAACAUACACAACGGCUUACACGAGGGUAAGCAAUAGCCAUGGGUGAAAGAAAGGAAACUAAAUAUCUACUCAAGUAUUAUGAUUCAACUUUUGAUCACAUACAUUGCAAUUAACCUUCAUAUUCAUGAUUCUUUACAUUUCUUGCAUCAUUUCUUUUACAUCACAUUUGCCCAAAAUAAAUAUUACAUUCUUUGCUUUACAUUACUAAUUGAUCAAAUACAAAAGAUGAUAAAAGGGUAUACUACUAACAAAAUGUAAACCCAACUUUGGUGGCCUCUGACUAAGGUGCGAUACCUUUACCGCGGUCGCUCGCCGGCUCGCUCGGUCCCGGCUCCGUGGAAUAGUGGAGUGAGAACUACAACAAAGUUCCCAGUGGGUUCGGCCCCAAUCUCACCGACUUUUCCACUAGGACUAACUCAAGCAUAAUAGAAAGGAUAAGCAGAAUAGUAACCCAACUAUAAUCAUGAUGCUAAUAUGCCCGAACAAUAAAGCAAGAAAUAUGCUCAACGUAAAUCAUGCAAGUAUGCAAGUUCUUUGUUCUUUACUCUUUGUUCUUUUAAGCUUUAUUCUUUGUUCUUUAAUCUCACGGCUAACCCGGGGGUUUCGCCACAUUAACUUGCCCACAUUAAAUCCAUCAUCGCGGGCCCUCAGCUGCCUCCCGCUAAGACCGUCCUUGGGUUUACUCCAACCCGUGAUGCAAAACUCCGGAGCGUAUCGCCCGAGGGGGAGCGACCGCCCUCGAGCACGGAACUCAUAGCAAGUAUGAUCGAUCCUUAACUCUAAGGAUAUAUAGCUCAAUUAUUGUUUUUACACUAACUCUAGUGUUCUUUACAUCACUUUAUUUUGCUAACUCUAGCAAUCAUUGUUCUUUAACUUUACUCAUUCUUUAUGCCACUUUUAUUUUCUUUUCUUGUCUCUAAUCAUUAUCAUUAUUCUUUGCGUCACAUUUCUCUUUGAUGCCACACAUACUAACUCUAGUGUCACUUUACUUUACAUUGUCGAAUGCCACUCGAUCUAUGUUUUUAUUAUGUCACUUUGUUCUUUCCUCUCAGUGGGUGUUCAUAUUACAUCUCAUGCAUACAUAUAGGGUUAAAUAGGCUCUCAAACAUUUCAAAUAGCACGUGUACUCACAUCAUGCAACAUUCACAUUUAUAUCAUCACAUCUACCCUAUAAUGCAUGCAACAAUAUAAUAUAUGCUCAAUUGAAUGACGCAUUAGGCAUAGAAGGAAUUUCAAUAAGUUUGGAUAGCACCACCCACCUCGUAGGUGUACUAGGAUGCUACAACGAUUUUCUUGGAAUUUUUAGACUCCUAGUUCGUCACCUGCGGCAAAACGAAGCCCUAUUAGGCCAUUUUGCUCAUAUCUUUACAUCAGCUUUUCGUAACGUUAAUCCGAGCGCACCAACGCGUUGGAAAUACCCCCAAUUAGGUUUCUAGAGGGUCAAUUUCAUUGUAGAACCUUUACAAGCAAAAGCCCCAAUUUGGGUGCCCUAGCUCAUAACAUAUAUCAAACCUAAGGUUUGAUCUCAUUGGGAAGCAAAAGAAGCUUCAAUCUACACUAGAGACUCCAUAAAAAUCAUUCUUAGCUUAAUCCAAACCCUAGUUUGGGUUCUACCAUGAGAGGGGUUGAAGCUCUCCUCUAAGCUUCACCUCCAACACUAAAUCCAUGGUUUUGAUCUCAUCCACAAGCAAAAGAAAGCUUGAAACAUUCAUUAGGCUCAAUUAGAACCAUUUCUAUUUCAUUGGAUUGUCAUUUAUAGGUUUUACCAUAAAAGGGAUCAAAGCUUACCUGAAAACUUUCCCUCCUACAAGCUAGAGAUGAGGGAGAGGGAGUUUCUUCACUCUUCUUCUUCUCCACUUUCUUCCUCUUCUUUUCCUUUCCUUUCUUUGUCUUCUUCUUCUCUUUCUUGUCUUCUAGAGAGAGAAAGAGAGAAGAAAGGGAGUGUGAGGGAGAGAAUGAGAGAAAUAUCCCAAAACCCCUCACAACAUAACCCAUAUAUACAUUUUUGCAAAUAAACCCCUCAGCUUUCACUUUAUUAAACUGCUUGAACUGGGCAGUUUUUGAGUUCGGGGACCGGUCUCCCCGACUUGGGACCGGUCCUAGAGAGCUCUCCCUGUGGGCAGCCAGGGCUCUCGCGCGAUGCAAUCGGUCUCACCCCGAGGGACCGGUCUCUCUCGCAGGGACUGGUUCCCCAGAGCUGGUUUUUUGGGACUUAGCCGAUUUUCAGCCUUUCUCAUUUCUCACGCGUUCGGGGACCGGUCUCUCCCACCUGGGACCGGUCCCCGAGAGCUCAAAAACUGCAGUUUACAGAUUUUUGAUUCUUUAGCUCUCGAAAACCUCUCGUAACGCACUUUCGAUCAUUUUAACACCUUCGGACUUUUCGAAGUGUACCAUCCUCGCACUUUGGUCAAUUUGACUAAAGUUCGAUAUUUAUAUUCUGAAUUUUCGGUAUAUUACAUUCUCCACCCUUCAAAAUAAUUUCGUCCGCGAAAUUACGCAUACCUUAACUCGUCGACUCAAAUAGAUGCGGAUACUCUCUCCGCAUUGACUCCUCGAGCUCCCAAGUGGCUUCUCGCGCCGCAUGGUUGCUCCAUUGGACCUUCACAUAUGGAAUUCUGCGACUCCGCAGCUUCCUUUCUUCUCGACCGAUGAUGCACACCGGGUACUCCUCAUAAGACAUAUCUUCACGUAGCUCCACGGGCUCGUACUCUAACACAUGUGUCGAGUUGCGAAUAUACUUUCGGAGAUUUGACACAUGGAAAACAUUGUGAACUCCCGCGAGUCUCGGUGGUAGUGCGAGCUUUACGCCACCGCACCCACACGCUCUAGUAUCUCAAAUGGCCCAACAUAACGGGGGUUUAGCUUCCCGCGGACCCCAAAUCGCUUUACUCCACGCAUCGGCGAUACUCUCAAAAAUACGCGGUCUCCAACCGCGAACUCUAAGUCCUUUCUUCGCUUGUCGGCAUAACUCUUCUGUCUUGACUGCGCCGUUACUAACCGUUGACGGGCAAGACGAACCUUUUCUUCCGCCUCCCGUACUACAUCCGGGCCAUGAGCCGUUCUCUCGCCCACGUCGCUCCAAUGAAUAGGAGAACGACACAUUCGACCAUAUAGUGUCUCAAAUGGUGCCAUCGCUACGCUCUCUUGAUAACCGUUAUUAUAUGCGAACUCCGCCAUUGGCAAGAAAUCAUGCCAUCCUCCCUUGAAAUCUAGCACACACGCUUGAAGCAAGUCCUCGAGGAUUUGUAUUGUCCGCUCUGACUGUCCAUUACUCUGAGGAUGAAACGCCUUGCUAAAGUCGAGCCGUGUGCCCAACGCAUCUUACAAGCUCUUCCAAAAGUGGGAUGUGAACCUGGGGUCUCGAUCCGAUACAAUAGAUAUCGGAACCCAUGAAGUCUCACAACCUCGUCGAGAUAAACUUGAGCUAGCUUGUCUCCCGACCACAUAGUAUGUAUCGGCAAAAAGUGUGCCGACUUUGUCAAUCGAUCCACUAUCACCCAUAUCGCAUCGUGUCCGCCUUGUGACUGAGCCAAACCGGUAAUAAAGUCCAUCGCUAUAUCUUCCCAUUUCCAAACGGGUAUUGACAGACUUUGUAGCUUUCCCGUUGGAAAUCGGCGCUCUGCUUUCACCUGUUGACACGUUAGACAUUGCGCCACGAACUCCCCAAUAUCUUUCUUCAUACCCGGCCACCAAAAAUGCUCUUUCAAGUCCUUGUAUAUUUUAGUGCCGCCGGGGUGUAUACUAUAAGGAGAUUGGUGCGCUUCUUGCAUGAUCGCCCUUCGUAACUCAUCAUCUUUGGGUACGCACCAAUGAUUUCGAAAUCGGAGUGCGACAUCGGCUCUAAUGCAAAAAUCCUCGGCACUGCCGUUCUCAACUUCACCUCGUAUCUUCUGAAGAUAAGGAUCUGAAGCUUGAAGCUCUUUGAUUCUUUCCAAUAGGGUCGGUUGCACAACUAAUACGGCAAGUGUAGCCGGCACUCCCGGCGCUACCACUUCCAACCCAAGCCUUUGCAUCUCCUUUUGCAAUAGCGGUUGAGGCGUAAUUGCCAUCGCUAAGUUCUCCGUCGAUUUUCUACUUAAAGCAUCGGCCACGACAUUGGCUUUCCCGGGGUGGUAUAGUAUAGUGACAUCGUAGUCCUUCAACAACUCCAACCACCGCCGCUGCCGCAUGUUCAAUUCCUUCUGGGUGAACAGGUACUUUAGACUUUUAUGAUCUGUGUAGACCUCGCAAUGCUCACUAUACAAGUAAUGCCUCCAAAGCUUUAGCGCGAAGAUAACCGCGGCUAACUCGAGGUCGUGAAUCGGGUAGUUCUUCUCAUAACUCUUUAAUUGGCGUGAUGCAUAUGCAAUGCCUCGCCCAUUUUGCAUUAAUACACACCCGAGACCAACAUAAGAGGCAUCGCUGUAUACUACAAAAGUCUCCCCCGGAGUCAGCAAGGCAAGCACCGGGGUCGACGUCAAUCUGCUCUUUAAUUCCUCGAAGCUCCGAUCGCAAUCGUCGCUCCAAACAUACUUUACUCCUUUAUGCGUGAGACGCGUUAGUGGAGUGGUUAUUUUGGCAAAUACCUCCACGAACCGCCGGUAGUAGCCCGCAAGUCCAAGAAAACUGUGGACCUCCGCUACAUUCGUCGGGCGAGGCCAAUCCUUGAUCGCCUCUACCUUCUUCGGGUCUACCGAAACUCCGUCGCCCGAUACCACAUGACCAAAGAAUGUGACCUCCUUUAGCCAAAAGUCACACUUCUUUAACUUUGCAUAGAGCUUCUCCUAUCUGAGUAUUUGCAACACAGCUCUCAGAUGCUCCUCGUGCUUCUCUUCACUUUUCGAGUAAACCAAUACGUCGUCUAUAAACACCACGACGCACCGGUCCAACAACGGCUUGAAGACUCGGUUCAUCAAGUCCAUAAAUGCUGCCACGGCAUUAGUAAGCCCAAACGGCAUUACCGUGAACUCAUAAUGGCCAUACCGUGUACGGUACGUCGUUUUGUGCACAUCCUUCGGCCUAAUCUUUAAUUGAUGAUACCCCGAUUGGACAUCAAUCUUCGAAUACACCUUGGACCCUUGCAACUGAUGGAAUAAAUCGUCAAUCCUUGGCAACGGGUACUUGUUCUUUAUUGUUACUUUGUUCAACUCGCGAUAGUCUACGCAGAGUCGAAGUAUGCCAUCCUUUUUCUUCACAAAUAGCACCGGAGCUCCCCACGGUGACAUGCUCGGCCUCACGAAGCCCUUAUCGAGCAAGUCUUGUAGUUGGCCUUUCAACUCCUUUAGCUCCACCGGUGCCAUUCUAUACGGAGCCUUCGAAACUGGUUCCGCCCCGGGAAUCAAGUCAAUGACAAACUCGACUUCCCGGUCCGGUGGCAGUCCCGGUAACUCCGCCGGAAAUACAUCCGGGUACUCGCACGCUACUCGAAUAUGCCCCAUCUCAGGGUACUCCUUUUGAGCAUCCACCAUGGUUGCCAAAUAGGCUUUACACCCUCCUUUGAUCAUUUUCUUCGCCCUUACAGACGAUAUAGUCGCCGCGAAGCGCCUACUUUUGCACGCUUGGUAGACUAACUCUUCUUGAUUAGGCUCACGAAAAGUGAUCACCUUGCUUUCACAAUCUAUCACCGCAUAGUACUUGGAGAGCCAGUUGGUCCCCAAGAUAACAUCGAAUCCCCACAUCUGAUCUAGCACUAGCAGAUCAAUCGGCAUAAUCCAAUCGCCUAUUUGCACUGGACACGCCAAACACUCGUUAUGGACACUGAAUGAAUGCUCUGGAGCGUUCACCCACCAGUAAUCCUCAUUGUAUACCAUCUCUAUGCCAUGUGUUUUAGCAAAUGAAGUGCUAAUGAAUGAAUGAGAUGCGCCUGUAUCAAACACUGCUCUAGCUCUAGUGCCUUUAAUCACAAUUAUACCUGCCACGACGUCGUCGGGUGCUGCAGGUUGUUGCUCCUCCACCUGAGCGGCAAAGACUCGGCCGCUAGGCGCUCUCGAUCCCUCCGGCUGACGCGGUGAUGACGCGCGACCAGCUGACAUCGUUGGUGGUAACCCCGCAAGCUGUCUCGGGGUAGACGGUGCUGAUGCUGCCAUCGGCGCAGACGACGUCCAGCUCGGGCACUCCCGGAUAAGAUGUCCCGGUUGGCCACACUUGAAACACUUGCCGUCCCGCUGUGGGCAAGUCGACACUCGGUGCUCACCACCACAAAUAACACAUCGAGGAGGUCUCUAGUUCCUCCACUGCUGUUGGGGAUAUCGAGGGGGUUUCUUAGUAUUCGGCCGGCCCCCGGCACCACCCGCCGUUCGCUUCUUGCCUUUUUCUUUGCUUUCGGCCAUAGCCUCCCUUUCUUCACGUACAUGGGCGCUACCGUGCUCCGCCGACAAAGCUCUAUCGAAGACCUCCGCAAAGGUCGUCAGCUUCAGAAUCUGCACCUUUUCAUAAAUCCUCGGCUGGAGUCCUCGCAAGAACCAAUCAGCCCGAUCCCGAUCAUCUCUAACAACAUCGGGAACGCAGUCCAUAAUGUGGGAGAAUUCCUGCUUGUACUCCCCCAUCGAUCAAUUGCCCUGUCGCAACUUGCGGAACUUCUAUUGUAGUCUCCGCUUCACCGUAUCGGGGAAGUAGUUCGCGAAUACCGCUCUCUUGAACUCCUCCCAAAGCAUAAGCGAAAGAUCGGUAGGUCGAUCCUGCUUAACUCGCUUCCACCACACCAUCGCCGCCUUCUCAAGACAAUGGGUGGCGAGGUAUACUUUGUCCUUUUCUGAGGUAUUAAGAUCCUCAAAGAGCGUCUCCAUCGAGUCGAUCCACGACUCCACGACCGCUGGCUCCACCAAACCACCUUCAAAGAUAAGUGGGUUGAACUUCUUAAACUGUAUGAGAGCCGCUAACGUGCGCUCCCGCUCCGCCUCUACCGCCGCACUAUCGGGAUUUGAGGUUCCCGAUCCGGCCGGUACUACCGUAACUGGAACAGCCACUGCUGUCCCCGCUCCCUCGUCCACAUUUGGUACUACCACAGGGGGCGCGACAUGCUCGACACCCGCCUGGGCGGCCGCCUGCUGACGCUCCAAGGCCUCCUGGAGCCAUUGAAUCUGUUUCCCUUGGCGUUGAACAGACUUCGCUUAUUGCCGCACUACGCCGAUAAGCACGGCCAUCUGCUCCCUAAGCUCUCCAUCGCCACUCGCUCCGGAUCGCUCGGGCUCCGCACUCGGCUCCUCAGGCAUCGACCUUGUCUGCGGUCGACCACGAGGUGCCAUUGCUUCCAGAAAAGAAGCAACUCGCAUUAGCUACAUGACCAACAUUACUCGACCAUACCCAAUCCGGCGAAAGCAAUAUGCACAUUCGUCCUUGCCCCAAGCAUCAUGUCGUCGGCCGCCCGACACAAAACUAGAAGUAGAGGACGAACGAAAAUUAAACUUAGCCUCUAAUCACAUUAGAGACAUCCCAACUUAACCCAAUCACAUGCUUUUGCUAACUUUAAUUCCACGUCACUCACGUUUUCUAGAUCCUUAAGGUCUUCCAAUCCUAAGAGUCUUUAGGUCCAUUCCUAUUCUUUCACUCUUGGCUCUGAUACCACAAUAUCUGUCACGCUCCGGGACCGAUACCAAUUUGGGCCAGCCCGAGCACGUCAAACAGACGCCGAACGAACAGAGUUUUCUCUGUCCGCCCAAGGCUCAUCACCUGUACAUUUUCAAACAAGAAGUGCACUAGCGGAAACAUACACAACGGCUUACACGAGGGUAAGCAAUAGCCAUGGGUGAAAGAAAGGAAACUAAAUAUCUACUCAAGUAUUAUGAUUCAACUUUUGAUCACAUACAUUGCAAUUAACCUUCAUAUUCAUGAUUCUUUACAUUUCUUGCAUCAUUUCUUUUACAUCACAUUUGCCCAAAAUAAACAUUACAUUCUUUGCUUUACAUUACUAAUUCAUCAAAUACAAAAGAUGAUAAAAGGGUAUACUACUAACAAAAUGAAAACCCAACUUCGGUGGCCUCUGACUAAGGCGCGAUACCUUUACCGCGGUCGCUCGUCGACUCGCUCGGUCCCGGCUCUGUGGAAUAGUGGGGUGAGAACUACAACAAAGUUCCUAGUGGGUUCGGCCCCAAUCUCACCGACUUUCCCAUUAGGACUAACUCAGGCAUAAUAGAAAGGAUAAGCAGAAUAGUAACCCAACUAUAAUCAUGAUGCUAAUAUGUCUGAACAAUAAAGCAAGAAGUAUGCUCAACAUAAAUCAUGCAAGUACGCAAGUUCUUUGUUCUUUUAAGCUUUGUUUUUUGUUCUUUAAUCUCACGGCUAACCCGGGGGUUUCGCCACAUUAACUUGCCCACAUUAAGUCCAUCAUCGCGGGCCCUCAGCUGCCUCCCGCUAAGACCGUCCUCGGGUUUACUCCAACCCGUGAUGCAAAACUCCGGAGCGCAUCGCCCGAGGGGGAGCGACCUCCCUCGAGCACAGAACUCAUAGCAAGUAUGAUCGAUCCUUAACUCUAAGGAUAUAUAGUUCAAUCAUUGUCUUUACACUAACUCUAGUGUUCUUUACAUUACUUUAUUUUGCUAACUCUAGCAAUCAUUGUUCUUUAACUUUACUCAUUCUUUAUGCCACUUUCAUUUUCUUUUCUUGUCUUUAAUCAUUAUCAUUGUUCUUUGCGUCACAUUUCUCUUUGAUGCCACACAUACUAACUCUAGUGUCACUUUACUUUACAUUGUCUGUAACAUGCCACAUCCCUCGUAAAUCGUAUCGAGUUCCGUCAACACGAGCGGAACGCGAAACUGAACGAGUUAAAGUGGACCCAAAGUGCAUUGGAGUUCAUAAUCGGAGCAAAAAGGGACCCGGAGAGCAAAUUUGGAAAUCUGGCUAAGUCCCAGAUUUUGAGCUCUCGGGGACCGGUCCCUGAAGGAGAGACCGGUCCCCGUGCGCGUAGCCUGUCAGGAAAUCCUGAGGCAUCCGGUCCCUGGUGGUGAGACCGAUCCUCGGGAGACCGGUCCCUGACGGGCAGACCGGUCCCUCGCUGCGCAACAGCUGAAAACUCGAAAAUUUGGCUAAGUCCUGGAAAACCUCCGUUCGGGAACCGGUCCCUGGUCGGGGAGACUGGUCCCCGAAGGCGAAAAAUGCCCAGUCUGGACAGUUCAAGAGGAAACAAGUGGAGGGGCUUAAGUGCAAUUGUUACAACACUAUAUAUGACUCAUCCCCUCUCUCCCACAGCCAUUUUCACUCUUCUCACCCAUUUCCUCUCUUUCUCUCUCUAGAACUCUUGCUCUAGGGCUUGGAGAAGAAGAAGAAGAAGUGAAGAGGAGAAGGAUUUGGAGGCUUUGGAGGGUUCUACAAGCUCUCCUACAAGAAGGACUUGGAGGAGCUAGGGCUAAGGUGAGUUUUUGGUAAAAAUGAGCCUAGGGUUUGGAUUUUGGCUUAGAAGAUGGGAGCUUUGUGCUCCCUAGUGGCUUUAAAGGCUCUUUUGAGCCAUGUACACCAUGGUUCCCAUGAGAGCUUAAAGUGCUCUCAUGGUGAAUCCUUGGAAGUGGUGUUUGGAGCCCUAGAGUUGGUACCAAAGGUCUAGAAACCUUACUAGAGUGCUUCUUAGAUGAUCCUAAGCUAUUGUUUGCUUAAGAUUCGGAUCGAUUCAUGGGAAAACCCUAAAUGACAAUAUUAGGGCUGGGAUUUGGGGCUUUUGCCCUAGGAUUUUUUGGAGACAAAUUGACCCCGUAGAAACCUAAUUGGGGGUGUCCUAAACGCGUGGGACAACUUUGUUUAACAUUGCGAAAAUGAUAGAGUAUAGUUCAUGUACAAAAAGGCCUAAUAUGGCACUAUUUUGAUUAUAGGGCACGGAAUCGGCUUUCGUAAAGUGCGAGAGCUUUCAUAAUCUACACCCACACAACCAAUAGAGGUGGGGGGUGCACGCCGGAAUCGUUGGAUUCCCUUCUAUGUCUGUUAUCUAUAUUCUUGAGCAUACAUGUUUAUUUAUAUACCCAUUCAUGCAUAGUAGGGUAGAUACAUGUGGAACUUGGUUUGACUUCAUUUAAAUGCUUCUAACGUAGUUGAACAUAGCGGAUGAUAGAACCAAAUUGGACAUGUGUGAUCGGACCCUCAAGUUGUGUGAAUGUGAGGUUAGACUUGGACAAUAGAAAACAAUGGUGACAUUGACAUAGAAACAAGAUUGGCAUUGAGAGAUGACCCGUUAAACCUAGUUUAACCAAUUAUGACAUCGUCAAAGGUAAAGCCUUGAGAGUGGCAAGAAUGAAUAGGUAGAGACCUAGCAAGACAUUGGCAUUGUGACUAGUGGCUAUGAAUCCUCAAGUUGAGGACUUGAUCGAUACUCACAUUUCGUCUUGGCUUGAGGGAGGUCGCUCCCCCUCGAGCGGUGCGCUCCGGAGUUGGUCACCACUGGGCGUGGUAAAGUCCCACCAGUUGACGGUCCCUAGGGAGGUUCGAGUCCCCCGCUAUUAAGGGAUUUUGAAUGGUGAGUUAUUGGGGUUAACAAGGUUAACCGGUAAGAUUGGGUAAGAGCCGAUGCUUCUUUGAGAUUUGAGCAUGCAUGCAUUUUCUAUUAUUGCAUCGAGUAUAUAUAUAUAUCCACUGACAUUCUUUUGCAGGCAUGGUAUUAGAUGCAUUAGCAUUGGUUACUUCUCCCUUCCUUUGUAAUACUUAUGCCUGGAUGGACCUAGUGGGUAAGUCGGCGAGGUCGGUUGCCGAGCCCACUGGGAACUUUGUUUAGUUCUCACACCACUAACCCUACAGGUCCUAGCACGAGCGGGGCGGCGGAGGACCGAGGCAAGGGUUUGGCGCCGUAGGUAGCGGCCACCGGGACUUUAUACAUUUUGUAGUCAUUCCCUUUUGUUAUACAUGUAUCAACUUUAUUUUGUUGAUGUAGGAAUGAAAUGUGUAAACAAUCAUGUAUUCGGUGGAUGACUAAAUGUAAAAGAUAUGAUGGUUGAAUGGAAUGUAAUAGCUUUGUUUACUUGAAUUUGGUUUAAAUGAAAUCAAAUAUCAUGUGUGAUGUAUAUUUAGCUUAGAGCUUUCGCUUCCGUUGUUGCUUGCCCUCGUGCAAGCCUUGUAUUAUAUAUGCAAUUCUCUUGUUGAUUGUCUAUUUAUACAUGUUGUUAGAGUCUUGGGCGGACAGGGGAGGCUCUGUCCGUUCGGCGUCUGUUGACGUGACCCGAACCCGACCAAAUUGGCGGGGAUUGGGGCGUGACAUUGUCGAAUGCCACUCGAUCUAUGUUUUUAUUAUGUCACUUUGUUCUUUCCUCUCAUUGGGUGCUCACAUUACAUCUCAUGCAUACAUAUAGGGUUAAAUAGGCUCUCAAACAUUUCAAAUAGCAUGUGUACUCACAUCAUGCAACAUUCACAUUUAUAUCAUCACAUCUACCCUAUAAUGCAUGCAACAAUAUAACAUAUGUUCAGUUGAAUGACGCAUUAGGCAUAGAAGAAAUUCCAAUAAGUUUGGAUAGCACCACCCACCUCGUAGGCGUACUAGGAUGCUACAACGAUUUUCUUGGAAUUUUUAGACUCCUAGUUCGUCACCUGCGGCAAAACAAAACCCUAUUAGGCCAUUUUGCUCAUAUCUUUACAUCGGCUUUUCGUAAUGUUAAUCCGAGCGCACCAACGCGUCUGAAAUACCCCCAAUUAGGUUUCUAGAGGGUCAAUUUCAUUGUAGAACCUUUACAAGCAAAAGUCCCAAUUUGGGUGCCCUGGCUCAUAACAUAUAUCAAAUCUAGGGUUUGAUCUCAUUGGGAAGCAAAAGAAGCUUCAAUCUACACUAGAGACUCCAUAAAAAUCAUUCUUUGCUUAAUCCAAACCCUAGUUUGGGUUCUACCAUGAGAGGGGUUGAAGCUCUCCUCUAAGCUUUACCUCCAACACUAAAUCCAUUGUUUUGAUCUCAUCCACAAGCAAAAGAAAGCUUGAAAUAUUCAUUAGGCUCAAUUAGAACCAUUUCUAGGUCAUUGGGUUCUCAUUUCUAGGUUUUACCAUAAAAGGGAUCAAAGCUUACCUCAAAGCUUUCCCUCCUACAAGCUAGAGAUGAGGGAGAGGGAGUUUCUUCACUCCUCCUUCUUCUUCUCCACUUUCUUUCUCUUCUUUUCCUUUCCUUUCUUUGUCUUCUUCUUCUCCUUCUUGUCUUCUAGAGAGAGAAAGAGAGAAGAGAGGGAGUGUGAGGGAGAGAAUGAGAGAAAUACCCCAAAACCCCUCAUAACAUAACUCAUAUAUUGCAUUUUUGCAAAUAAACCCCUCAGCUUUCACUUUAUUAAACUGCUUGAACUGGGCAGUUUUCGGGUUUGGGGACCGGUCUCCCUGACUUGGGACCGGUCCCAGAGAGCUCUCCCCGCGGGCAGCCAGGGCUACUGCGCGAUGCAACCGGUCUCUCCUAGAGGGACCGGUCUCUCGGGGACCGGUCUCUCUCGCAGGGACCGGUUUCCGAGAGCUAGUUUUCUGGGACUUAGUCGAUUUCCAGCCUUUCUCAUUUCUCACGCGUUCGGGGACUGGUCUCUCCCACCAGGGACCGGUCCCUGAGAGCUCAAAAACUGCAUUUUGCAGAUUUUUGAUUCUUUAGCUCUCGAAAACCUCCCGUAACGCACUUUUGAUCAUUUUAACACUUUCGAACUUUUCGAAGUGUACCAUCCUCGCACUUUGGUCAAUUUGACUAAAGUUCGAUAUUUAUUUUUUAAAUUUUCGGUAUAUUACAGGAAGCAUACCCGGUACAUGCACAGACCCGCCAUACACCUGCAGUAUAUAAGGCGUCUACUAAAUUAUGUCAGGAAAGUACCGAUUACAAAGAGAUUCUAACAUGAUAUCAAAGCAACACAUAAACCACUAGUACUACUACUAUUAGCAGAAAAGUAAGUAUAAGUCUCAGAAACUCAACAAGAGAUAGAAACCUAAAACUAUAAAUACAUCAGUCUAAACCAACAUAUACAUCACAGGGUCGCUCAAAACUAUAUAUACAGAAAUGGUAGUCUCUCUACAUACGGUGCACAUUACUCUCGUCAGCAUCUCAAGGUAGCGAGGGGAUCACCUAGAAGGACGUCACGCUAUAUCUAGCUAGACGCGACUCCCUUACCGCGAUUCCUAGCCUCUCCCGUCGUGGCAGGCUCUGUAAAAACAACGACAAAAAGGGCCUGAGAACUAUUAAACAAUAGUUCCCAGUGGGUAAGCCGCCAGCCUGGGCGAAUUACACCACUAGGCUCAUAAUGUACUAAAGGAAAUGUAAGAACAGUUAUAGCAUGCUAGAUAUAACAUAAUUAGUGAUGAACAUAUAACUAUAACCUCAAUGUAUCAACUAAUUAGAAGCAAAUAAAGUGAUUACUAUAAGCAUAAACAUGUCAUGUAAGUGAGUAUUGUAUACCAAUUAGUGGUGAUCCUUUAUUACUGUCAUUUAGUAAUUUAAUUUAAGUCACAAGGAUCUACACGAGGUAGUCCAGCUUGCGCUGCACCUAAUGGCCCUGUGGUAGUAUGCACUCCUCACGGCAAUCCACUUCGACACCCCGCACGGGCGAGCAAUCUGCGUGUAGGCCAAUUCUGAAGUGCCGGCUUGUGGGGAGCGACCCUCACAAGCAUGUGCGAAUGAGCACAAUGGCAAGCAAACAUAAUCCAUAGUCUAACAGUUUUAGAUAAUCAUACUAUAACAUGUAAGAUUCUCAUUCUUGACCAAUAGGUCAGAAUCUAAACAUAUUGAAAAGGCUAAUAUCCACUGGAUUCAACAAAUUAAGGAAGUAAUGCAUAUGUACCUAUGUCAUGUAAGGUCCAGAUAUUUAGACUAAGCAUCAUUACUAUUACUCAUGCUUCUAUACACAUUAUAAAAGUUCCAUUUCACUCAAUAAACCAAUGUGUUUAUAGCAUUCAAUACCCGAUAUUGAGUACUUAUUCAUAAAGUUACACAUCCAAGUAAUUCUAUAGUAUCAUAUAGAACAUAGGGGUUUCACUUGUUCUGGUAAGGUCAGACCCACCUACUACUUGAUGAUCCUUGUCGAACUUACUUUUGCAGGAAAUCUGAAGCCUUCAAUUCCCCUAACAUAAAAUCCGAAAUCAACUAAGAGCUGACUUCUAUACCAAUGGUAAAACUUCACAUAAUUAUAAAAAAUAGACUAAAUCCUCACCUAGGCUUAGACUGAAACUAAACCUCUGCUUAAUUCAGGUUGAAGUACUCCCAAACUCAGUUUAAUUCAGCCCAAAAAGGGCUCAAUGUUCAGCCCAAAGUGAUCUUCGUACCUGCUGCGAACUAGUUAGAAAACUGCAUUGAAACAAUUACCAGAACAUCUAAUUUCAGCAACCUCUCACCUUGCACAUGGCUGUAGUUUGAACCCUUGCUUUGGUUCAGGUUCAGGUACUCACCUUAACCUCCAAAAGUUUCUAAAUAUCAACCAAGAACAAUCCGAUAGCCUUUGGCAAACCUGCUGGGAACACUACUCAAACAGUGUUAGUACACCUAUGCGAUUUCGUAGAAUAUGCUGGAAUUCAGCUUGCAUAGAUUCCCAACCUGAAUUCUCACAUCCCUCUGGUUAAAUUACAUUCAAAAUCAACUCAUAAGAUUGUAAUACUUGUAAUACUCCGUUUAAAGUGAAGAUUCUAGCUGCUAAGAAUACAAACUCCCAAAAUCAGCAUUCAUACUUCAUACUUAUCACUUCUAUCGCAUCAAUUAUGCGUCUAAGCACUCAAUUACCUUCUCACAGCUUUCGUAGUACCUUCCCCUAGCUUCGUAUUGAAGCUCCACAGCCACAACCCCCUUCCCGAGCUGCCAAAAUCUCUCCCCCACUCCUGCUGGUUACAAGAACUCAAAAUCACACUUAACUCUAUUAUUAACACAUCAAACUUAAAUUAAUUAAGUUGUUGCCAUAGCAACCUUUCCUUCAGCUACUUGCUGCCAAGGAGUUGCGAAAUCCACCCAAGACACCUUCUCCACCUUCUGUAAUAGCUCAUUGACCUCCCAAAGCAAUCAGCAUCAAAAGAGGAGAGGAACCUGGACCAAAACCCUUGAUUCCACUUAGAGAGAGAACACUUCCUAGAGAGAGAAAGUAAGGGAGGUGUAAACCCUUGGUUCAGAGUCCCAGUAACUUUAUCUAAAGGGCAGGGGUCGAGCUAGAGGCUUAUAGAUAAGCUAGAGAAGAGAAAAGACCAAAUUAGGCCUGCUGCCACGCAGCUGCUGCCUCUGCUGCUGGUUGUACCGGUACAGCAUCAAUGUUGUACCGGUACAACAAUGCAGAAUGGCCAAAUUUCGCAGGAGCAAUGCACUUUCUCACUUCCUGCGUUCCAAACAUCCUCAAACUCCUCCACAACCCUCUCUAAACCCUUAGAACAUGUAGGAUAGUUCCAAACACCAUUCCCACACUCGAACUUUGCAGUUUGCGAAAGUUCAGUGUACGACACGACCACUAAUAUCAACUAACAUAUAUGCACGAGGACCGACAAUAGGUCACAAGGAUGUCACGUCACGCAUCGAUAUAGGAACUAGCCGUCAGCCACUAGCCGACAAUUCCACCCCUCAAGAUAUACUGACCUCAUAGGUCAUCAGACGAUAAGAGUCACGAAACCGACCAAGUAGGUCACAAUAACGAUGCAACAAGUCGACCAAAUGGGUCAUAGAUAUGAGAUACAAGAACCGACUAACCAGGUCAUAGAUAUCACAUGUAGAUAGAACUGCUCUACUCCUACUCAUGAUAUUAGGCAUGAAAACAAUCGAGUAGAGUAUAAAGGAAACAACAUGGGCGCAAGGCUCAACAUUAUAUAUAGAUAUAUAUGCAAGAUAACAACGAAAGAACAAGGGUAAGAAGAUGUCACCGAGUGUGCACCACUGUACCUACUUCAGGUCGAAGUACCCACUUGUACAAAUACCGUAUUGGCCUUCCAACUGCGGAGAAAGUAACAACCAGACCUACGAAGGGUCCACCGGGUUAGAAUCCAACCUAUGAACAGAAAAUGCUAACUCAAAAUCCCCACCAACAACUCUACGGGAAUCGGUUUUCCAAAACCAAUUGCUGAACACGCCGGAAGUCACGGAAAUCGCAUCGGGACUCCGCCGACACCCACGAACUGUCUCGGAACUCAUCGACUCGUGCUACGAGUCACCCGCUGCCACUAAACACCAUUAUUCAUGGGACUUGGUAGCAAACACAUCACCUCACAUCGAAACGAUUAUUGUCGGAUAAUCGUUCGGAUCCGGGUUCCCGGAAGUGUCAAUUUCGAGACCGAAACCCACCGUAGCUCACCCGUCAUUUCUGAACCCUCCAAACGACGUGGGUGACUAGACAACAAGGAUCAGCGACAUAACAAUUUAUCAUGAGGCAUCGUCGGAAGAAUUCUGAACUGAGAACGCGUUCUGUCGGUGAAUUUCGCCGAAAAACGCACCGAAAAUCGACAUUUGAUUUUCGAAAAGGCUUGGGGCCUUGGCCAACCAGUCCAAAGGUUACCCGCUGCCCGCACACGCUGCCAACAGCAGCCACAAAAUGUACAAUUGCAUAAAAACCCCCGCAACUACAUAAAAUCACACUAUUUUAUGUGAUUUUCGGUGUUUUAUGGCUCGACUGCGCAAACUGAGAGUAUUCUAGCUAAGUUAAGACACCCGCUGAUAGGUCUCGGUGUGUCGGAGGCUGUGCUCACACUUCGGAGCAUGGCCGGCCACUGUGGCAAGCGCGGGAGUAACAUGAAGUUCAACAAACCCUGCGCAUUGAACCUAAAACACUUCUAAUUCGCUUAUCCGAGACCCGUUGACCCUAAUUGAGGUGAGCACUGUGAUCAGAACUGACCUACGAUCACCGUGCUCACCUUCGGAGGCAUCGAAAAAGCCUCAGGUCAUCGGAACAGAGAUCUGAAUAGGAAAUAAUGCGUAAAAAGGCUGAAAUUAAGCUUACCGGGCACAAGGGGGCCACAGCACGGCCGACGGCAGGCUGGGUAGCGGGCUGCCCGCGGCAGGCGGGUGGCGGGCGACGGAGGGAGGCCGGGGCGCGCGUCGGCCGCGAUAGAAGGCGUAAAGCAGCUAUGUCAUUGAAUGCACUAGCCACACGAAACCGCGUGGGGGCACGGCCAGGACCGCCGACGAGGAGCUCCUGGCGGUAGGCGCCGGCGGCGGGGCGAGUGCGCAGCCUGCAAGGGAACGGCCGGCCGCUCACAGCCGGCCAGCGGCGGAGGCAGCAGUGGCGGCGCCGGGGAGGAACCGAGCUCCGCAUAAGCCAAUCUCGGGCACACAUGCCUUCUCCGGCACGGCGAUGGCCCGAGCGGGCAAGGAAGGCGCGCGACGUCAUCUGGAGGCCCAGAGGAAGAGGCGGAUCGGCGGCCAGCAGCCGAGAAGGCGGCGCUUCAAGCUCGGCGCGCACAGCUCGAGCUGGCAGCAUGCCGCAGAUCCCACAGACGGUGGAGCUCGAGGCGCUGUGGCCGCCCGGGGGAGGUCGCCGGAGGUUUGGGGGGUCGCCGGAGGAAAGCCCAAGGUGGGGAGGGAUCACCUGCCUAGCUCUCGAACAGAGAGGAGGAUGGGUUGGUGGCAUAAGUGAGAGGGAGAGAAGGAAAAGGUUGGCCAAGGAGCUGGUUGGUCGACCGGAGCUCAGCCGGGGAGCGUGCGGCAUACGAGGAGAGGGAGGAGGGGCGGUUGGGAGUGAGCUGGAGCUAACAUUAGGUUUUUCCCCUGGUGCAAACCCUAAAAGCUUUAUAUACAAAAAGUUUAUUUUGCGCAAAAGUCCUCCAAAAUCCUAUAUUUUAAACUGGGUCCCUCACGGCGCGUGUAAAACGCGUGAAUACACCUCCACAUUCGUUUUCACGCAAAACGGUAUAUAAAAUAUCGAGCUUUUCACAAAAUUACCGUUUUGCCAUUAAUGACCCCUCCUCGAUCAACGCGUAAUAUCAAGAGAUCUGUCUGUCAGAUUUGCGAACGGAUCGCACCAAUGCAAUCAGAAUGACAGCGAUAUCAAACCAUGAUUUUGUUUCACCUGGUUUGGUCGUGGAUUCACGACGAAACCCAUUCUCUCUUCAAUAAGCAAAACCAUACACAAAUACAUAGAAUAUAUGUGUAUACAGUUUCCUCAAAAUCCGAGCAUCAAACCUGAAAUCCGUCGGCGCCAUUGGAUCCAGGACAGUCGAACCAUUAGAAACGAGCUAUUGGAUCACUAUAAAAGGAGUCUAAUACGCUCCAGAAGCCAUCUCCACUGAUUGGCCUCUUCGGAAAACCGGAGUUACUAUUCACUUAAGUGAUCAGUAAAGUUAGCGUAUCUUCUCCAUCCUAACUCGUUUUCUCCUAAAACUUGACGAGUACAUAUGUAAUUAAAUUACACACAACAACAUCGUCAACAAGGAGUUUAGCUAAACAGUCAAAUUCUCAGUUCUUACAAAAUCACCUAUAAUCUUAACAACCUGAAAAUCCUAAUAAUUUAUCCAUACAAUUUCAUAUAAUCUUAACAGCCUGAAAAUCCUAAUAGUCUAUCCAUAUAAUUUUAUAUAAUCUUAACAGUCUAAAAAUCCUAAUAGUCUAUCCAUAUACUUUUAUAUAAUCUUAACAGUCUAAAAAUCCUAAUAGUCUAUCCUACAAUUUCAUAUAAUCUUAACUGUCUGAAAAUCCUAAUAAUCUAUUCAUACAAUCCUAACAAUCAAAAAAAAUCCUAAUAAUCUAUCCAUACAAUCCUAACAAUCAAAUAAAAAUUCUAAUAAUCCAUAUAUAAUCCUAACAACUUCACUUUUUUCUAUUUCCUAUAUAAUCCACGCACAAUUUUAGUGAAUAUGGCGAACGAUUCACUCCCUUUAAAAAAAAAAAAGGAAGAAAGCGAUGAACAUUUCACCGUCUUUAAAAGAAAUUGGAGAAUGCGGGGAAUGAUUCACCGCCUUUAAAAGACAUAGGCGAACACGGUGAACGAUUCGUCACUUUUCGAAAAUAACCUCACGUGACUUUUACGUGGCGAAAAGAGGGUUAGUUUGCCAAAUAUAAAUUUGACAAGGUUAUUUUGUAAAUUAUAAAAUUUUGGAGGAUUAUUUUAUAAAAAAAUUCGAUGGUGAAAGGGUAUAUUGAAAGGGCAAAAUAGUAAUUUCAUACAGAUAAUAGUUAUUGCUAACAGUUCAUUAACGGAAUUUAACUCUAUGGGUAUAUUUGAAAUAGUUUGAAUGUAAAAAGGGUAUUUUCAAUAUAAUAUUAGCCUUCUAACAGAGUAAAUCAGAAAGUCUGAAACUUUUCAAUUGUAUAUAUGCAAUUGCCCCUUUUUAUUUUAAUGUAAAAGAUGAAUUUUAUUUGAAUAUCUUUAUUAUCAAGAAUUAUGGCUAUCUUUUUUCCUUUUUUUUUUCUAAUGUAGGUAAAUUAUUAUAUUUAAAUAGAAUUAAAAAUAAUUAUCUUGAGGUAACAUUGAAUAUUAAUAUUGACAUUUAUGUGUUAUGACAAAUUGUGUAAUUUCAUUACGAAAAAUAAAAAUGAGCAUGAGUAUUAUAUUUAGUAAACUAUAAAUAUUUUAUUAAAAAUUUUAGAAAAUAAAUUGAGUUAGUAUACAGUUCAAAAUUUAGAACCAAAUAUGUAAAUAACUUUAAAUUUUUAUACUUUGUUAAAUUGAUAUUUGGGGCAAAAAUUGUCACGCCCCGGAUUUCUCGUUUCCCUGGGCACGCUAACAGACCGGCCGUAUACAUAGAAAUUUUUUCUGUAUACGAAGCGAUAGCUGUACCUCUAAACAUACAAUACUACAACUAGUAGUAUAGAGCUGCUAAAAGGAAUACAUAUAUAUAAACAUUGGUUCAAUACAUACAUAAAAUCUUGGUACAAAAACACUCGCUCCAGCGAGGAAUAACAUUAGUAUGUAAAGAACAAAAAACUACAACUACCUGUAGCUAGUACUCCUCUAGCUUUGUAACUCGUCAGGAAGGGCUCUAACUCGCAACACCCUUUCCGCGAUCAGAAUCAGCAGUAGCAGCAGCCGCAACCGGAGGCUCUGCAAAAGAUCCACAACUGGGCGUGAUAACUACUGCAAAAAGAAGUAGUCCUCAAUGGGUACCGCUAUCGAUCUCAACGGCUCACCCACUAAGUCUACAGAAGGUAUGCUCAAUGAUAGUAAAGGAACUGAAAAUAAUCUACAGUUAUAUGCCAUUAUACUAUCAUUAUCCAAUGUUAACUAUCUGUAGAAUAAUGCAAGUUCUGACCCAAUCUCACUAGGGACUGUGAAUACACCCGUCCUAGGGAUUGUGAAUACACCCGUCCUGCCUGUCGAAGCUAUACAGCUACCUCCACGCUCAGCUGUCCGUGCAGAGCAAGUCCAACCAGGAUACAACGACACCAACGCAAAUGCAUAAAACCCGACUCCGAAGUGGCACUCGUGGGCACUACCCAACCGAGUAUUCAAAUGUGUCUCUGUCGAGCUCAAUCAGGCUCUCACACGCUAUAGUCAAGUAAACAGGAUCUAACAACCGAACUCACGUGCCCUCGGUACAAUCUGAUGCAAAAACAGUAAUCUGGGUCCACCGUCAACCCCAACGGCACUCGACAGUCCGGAACAGUCUAAAUACUGCUGUAAAAAUAAGCUCGGCAUCCCAGCACGAUCGUAAAAUAUUCUACACUAUCCUGGGUAUCCACCGCCCACAAACUGCGGUGAUACAAACAAACUACGGCUCCUAGUGCUAAAUCUGGUAGUUUUAACAUAUGACAGUGUAGAAGCGUUAGUUCUCUCCUAAGUCAAAUCUAAGUCCAACAUGUAUUAUUUAACUAAUAUUCUAAGCUCCAAUUCAGAUUUAGGAACACAAUAAAUCAACAAAUCGAGCAAUGAAACAUGAUAUACAAAAAUCCACUAAUACAUGCUAGCAAUAGAACUUAGGAGGAAAUCCGCAAAAAUUCGGUAAGCAUCACUUUAACCCACCUCUAGCGCGAGUCCAACAGGCUAGAAGUCACGAAAUCAUAGGGAAGCUCAGCCGUGAUCACCUAGAACUAGCAACAAUACUUCUCCAAAGCUCUAAACACCAAAAUACUAAAAAUUGCAUUACAACCCUGAAAAUUUAGCACUUAAGCUAAAACCUCCAAUUCCAUUGUCAAAACUCACCUAUCAAACUCCAAAUCUACAAUUCAGGUGAAGAACACUCUCAAAACCAGUAGGGAAAAGUGAAGCAACUUCCUCUAGUCGAAAUUCCAGCUCUCUCCAAGAAUUGGUCCAUAAAAAUCAAAGAAAACUCAAUUUCAGGUACAAAACAGCAGCAGUCCAGAAGAAUAGUAAUUUGACCAAACUAACCUCAAUCAAAUUCUGUCAAAUUGGCACCACGUAACCUCCAAGAAGUCAGCUAACCAACAAAUCAAGUUUCGCAGCAAUCCGAUCCUCCUACGUCACACACGAGCCAAAACGCCGAAGGUCGCUGCUGCAAUUCUACUGAAACUGCAGUCCUCCAGCUUCAAAUUGUAGAAAUUUGGGAAAUUGGAGGGGUUGAAGUGCAAAAUAGGCCUUCUCUGUGAAGAAGAGGUGAAAAGAGGGGUUGAACUCUAGCUAUUUAUAGGGAGGAGAAAUGGUCAGAUAAACCCCAGGAACAAAGAACUCAAACCUACUGUUCCUGCAGAAACGGGCGAUCGGGCGCCCGGAACCAUGUUCUCGGCAUCCGCAACCUCCAGGCUGCACAAAUACUCCUCUUCAAUUCCUCCGCCUGCAGUUUGCUACGCCCAUAUCCUGGUCCAGCGGACCUCACCUACCACUAGCCACGUGUUAGUACAAACGAUAUUCCCAAAGUAAAAUUUCGGACCCACUUCGGGCGCCCGAAACUAGGAUCCGAAUUGGCUUCCAGUAUCUGUUCGAUUCAGCACUCAACUUCUGGGUGACCCAAACCGAGUUAUGGGCGCCCGAAACUGGCAAAACUCUAGUUUUACUCUUUUGAGUGCGCCAAGUCCAUUUCUGCAUCCAUUUCGUGCAGAAACGACUCCGACUCAGUCCGACACUCACCAGAUGUGUCGACCAGUCACUAAUACUGUAGCCAAUCCUAUCCAAACCUCCGGAACACUAUAAAAAUAGUAUCAUAUACAUAUAUUGUCAUGCCCCCCGCCCCGAAACCACUACCAAUUUGGUCCGGUCCGGGCGCGGCGGACGAACGCCGAACGGACAGCACCUCCCCUGUCCGCCCAAGGCUAAACAACUAGAUCAAGUACAAUUAAGCGCCUAGGAAAUGCUUAAAUAAUAUACAUGAUCAAUAUGAUGCACACAAGUGUAAUACGACUAAGAGCAAGAACCACAAGUAAAUGUACAAGUGUAUAAAGAGAGAAAUAUCUAGCUAUUACAACCAUUCAACAGUUACAUCAUCGAUUACAUUACAUUUCCAUAUUCCAAAAUGUAAAUACAUGUUUCUCUCCAAAUACAAGUAGCUCUCCAAUAUCUAUCCAAAAUAUACAUGGUAUCUAGUACACGAGGGUACUCUAAUGCAUAAAGGAAAGCUACUAGCUAACUCACUCAGGGCGUUAUGCCCUUACUGCGAUCCUCGCUCGGCGAUCUAGUCCUCGGCCCUGCAACAAAGUGGGGUGAGAACUAUAUAAAUAUAGUUCCCAGUGGGUUCGGCCGCCGACUACGCCAAUUUUCCUACUAGGUCUAAGCAGGCAUAAGCAGAUAGAUAGGUAGAUAAAUAGAUAGAAAAGUAAACUGCAACUAUUCUACCAUGCCUUCAAUAAUGAGCAAUGCAUGCAAUAUUCAUUUGCAAUGAACCUACUAUCAUGCUAGUAUCAUGUCAGGAGUAUAUAAAAGUACAUAGCAAUGCAAUUUACAACAUACACUAUGUCUACUCGAGGUAAUAAUGCAAUUCUACUAUGCCAUUCAUGUUUAUUACCCAAUCUACUUGACUAGCCCGUAGGUUAAACCCUCGACUGACUCUCAAUCUCAUAGGUGAGGAGAAGCUGCACUCGCACACCGAGACCGUCUGCGGGACAACUACGUCUGCCCCUAGUGAAGUACUCCGGAGACUCGUGCUUCGGUGGAGCGACCACCGACAAGCGAAAACAGACUAGUGAGUAUGAUCCAAUCCUCUCAAGAGGAUACCCUGUCUACUAGGGUCAAUGUGCCUCUGCUGCACAGUAUACAAUGCAUCCUAGAUGCCGGGAUUUCUACUAUCCCUAGAACCAUGUCAUGUUUACUACACUAGACUCGAUGCCACUCGUUUAGUCAUUGUAGUACUGUUCUUUAACUAGUUGACAUGCCACUCGUCCAAUUAGUGUUUCUACUACACUAGUUCAAUGCCACUCUACUAGGCUAUCAUAUGUCCAAGUUCGGCUCUUUAUGCCACUAUAGGAUUCUAUGUCACAAGACCCAAUUCUAAUGCUACCCUAGUCCAUGUGUCCAACUUACAAGUUACACUACUAAGAAGCAUGCAAGGAAUUAGAAUUGCAACUAUCUACUAAUCCUAUAAUGCAUAAUAUUCAUAUAUGACCAAUAUAAAGAACUUAGACAUAAAGAGAAACCCGGUUGCUUCGGGAUGGACACCCCCCACCUCUUGAGGGUAUGGAGGUUCUAGAAAUGCCCUCCAACGAACGUUACGACGACGUCUCGGCCUCUUAGGUCGAAAUGAAGCUUGGUUGGCCUUGUUUCGCCAAUAUCUUUUCGCCCGUUUGACGAAUCGAAAAUCCGACUUCGUCCUUGCGUUUAGACACCUAGCAAUUAGGUUAGAGGAGGGUCAAAUGAGAUCAAUCCUCUAUUUUUCCAAAAAUCCUAAUUUGGGUGCCCUAGGGUUAACACUAUGCAAACCCACUUCAAAAACCCUAGAUUCUAGUUCUAAUCCCACCAUUCAUGGUGCUAGGGAUCCAUUUAAUCCCAUCCAAAGAGCUUAACCUAAAAACCCUAAAUUUCACAACUAGGGUUAGAAGCCUACCUCUUAUUUAGCUUCAAAGAGAGAAGAGAGGAAUAGGGAGAGGUCCAAAAGCCUUCUUAGCUUGAUCUCCUUCUUCUUCUCCUUUCUUUUCUUCCUUCUUUUCCUUCUCUUUUCUUCUUCUUCCUCUCCUUUGUUCUUUCCUUUCUAGAGAGAGAGAGAAGAGAGUGUGUGAGGGAGGUGUUGGAUUUUAUCUAAUAAUAAAUUUUAAUGAUAACAAACAAAUAUUGGAUUUAAUUUGUCAUUUAGCAAUUUCAGGUUAUAGUUGAAUUUAAAGUGGCUCAAGCUGAACCGGAAUUGAUCAAAGGUAACCAUUCAAUCAAAUUGUUCAAAUUGGUCCAGACAAGAUCAAAUUGUACCAAAUUGGAUGCAAAUGCCACAAUAAUAAUUUGGAGGACUUCUUUACAAUUUAUCAGAUUUGAGCCGGCCAACCUAGUGAAGUUAACCAACUUGCGUUUUGGGUUUGAUUUGAGCUUAAUGUCAAAUUAGCCAUUAUUUUAAUAUGGUAUGAAAGUGAUUUUAUGUAUGGUAUAAAUUCAAANUUAAGGUCAAUGGUGUUGAGUAGGGCUUUUUUUUCAAAUAGCCCCCUGACAAAUUUUAUUUGCAAAAUUAGCCCUGUGUAAAAUUUAUUUGCAAAAAUGGCCCUAGCCCUGCCACGCCAGCGCCACGCGGGCAGGGCCUGGGCCAGGUAUUCAAGUUGAACACGGUGAUUCGUUCACCGUGUCUAAACACGGUGAACGAAUCACCGUGUUCAUUGUGGUCACACCCCGCGCGGGGCGUUAGUAUUGCAUUAGACACGGUGAUUCGUUCACCGUGUCUAAACACGGUGAACUGUUUACCGCGUUUAGACACGGUGAACCAUUUACCGUGUCCUUCACUUCCAUUUUUGGCCAAACACGGCCUGGCUACUUGUAUUUGGACACGGACUUAACCAUUUUCGGGGUUGCUGAGUACAUUUGUAUUGGACACGGUGAAUGGCCAGUCACCGUGUCCAGAGAACACGGUGAAUGGAUCACCGUGUCAGGACACGGUGAUCCAUUCACCGUGUCCAAUACAAAACUCUGGACACGGUGAUCCAUUCACCGUGUCCAAUACUACUGUAGCAACCCUUAAGUCCGUGUCCGAAUACAAGUAGCCAGGCCGUGUUUGGCCAAAAAUGGAAGUGAAGGACACGGUGAUUCGUUCACUGUGUCUAAACACGGUAAACAGUUCACCGUUUUUAGACACGGUGAACGAAUCACCGUGUCUAAUGCAAUACUAGCUACCCGCGCGUGAGAACACAAUGAACACGGUGAUUCGUUCACCGUGUUUAGACACGGUGAACCAAUCACCGUGUUCAACUUGCGUACCUGGCCCUGGCCCUGCCCGCGUGGCGCUGACGUGGCGCUGGCGUGGCAGGGCCAGGGCCAUUUUUGCAAAUAAAUUUUAUACGGGGCUAGUUUUGCAAAUAAAAUUUGUCAGGGGGCUAUUUGCAAAAAAAGCCCUAUAUACAACAUCCAUCUCUAAAAUGAACCCUCAGUAAGUACAAGCAACAUAGGGCAACUCUAUGAAAUCCAAUAGUAGGACAGCUCUAACCACUGGUGACACCCUUGCUGUGAGUUCUGAAAAGAAAAACAACCAAACAAUAAGAGUGAUAACUAUAAAAUAUAACUCUCAAUGAGUGCUGCCGCUGAGAGGGGUGUGCUACUUCCUAGGUCAGCUGAGGUAUAAAUAAUAAGAACUGUUGGAAAUAGUAAUAAUUGUAAUGAAAGUGCUUGUGACACCGCAAUAGUCCCACAUCGGAUGGGAAUGAGGUUGUCAUUGAGAGCCUUAACGGGGGGAGUCUGUGACACCGCAAUAGUCCCACAUCGGAUGGGAAUGGGGUUGUCAUUGGGUUUAUAAGAGACUUAGACACUAGAAAUAAUAACUGGGCUUAAGCAUUUUGGGCCGGUAUUUUGGCCUAACGAGUUAUUAUUGCUAGUGGGCUGGGUUGUUACAUUGGGCUGAGUCGUUAUAGUGCUAUAAAUAUAUGCUACUACUAUGCCGCCAAGUAAGUAUCAACUAUAUGAACUCUACUAUCACACAUGCAUUAAUUAUUUAUUGAUGUUCAAGUAUCCAUAUUUUAAAUCUCUCGAGCACUUACUCAACGUUGUUGGAUUUUAUCCAAUAAUAAAUUUUGAUGAUAACAAACAAAUAUUGGAUUUAAUUUAUUACUUAGCAAUUUCAGGUUGUAGUUGAAUUUAAAGUGGCUCAAGCUGAACUGGAAUCAUGAUUAGAGGUAACAAUUCAAUUAAAUUAUUCAAAUUGGCCCGGACAAGAUCAAAUUGUACCAAAUUGGAUGCAAGUGCCAUUACAAUAAUUUGGAGGACUUCUUUGCAAUUAUCGGAUUUGAGCCAGUCAACCUAGUCAAGUUGUUCAAUUCACCUUUUGGGUUUAAUUUGUGCUUAAUGUCAAAUUAGCCAUUAUUUUAAUAUGGUAUGAAAGUGAUUUUAUGUAUGGUAUAAAUUCAAACAUGAUUUUAUUAUGGUAUGAAUUUGAAAAUGGGAAAUAUGAUAUAAAUGUAUUUUACAAGUUUGGUAUUAUUUCAAAAGCUUUUACAAAUGUGAAAUGACUUCAAAAAGUUUUCAUUUGUAGUAUUAAUUUAAAAGGAUUUUACAAAUUUGGUAUAAUUUCAAAUGAGCUUUUCAAUAUAGUAAUAUUUCAAAUGAGUUUUGCAAAUGUGGUAUGAAUUCAAAUUUAUUUUGGAAUUAAUUCAAAUACAUUUGCAAAUAUGGUUAAAAUUCAAAUUGAAAUCAAUUAUGAUUUAAUUAUGGUUUUGUUUCAUUUUUGAAAUGAUGGCUAGUGUAUUUAAAGGGAGGCUUGGAUGUUGUUUGUACACAACUUCAGAAAAAUUCUUUAAGUCCUAAUUGUUCAUUGAUUUGUAAUUAUGAGCUUCUUGAGAGAUUGUAAAAGAAGUUUUGUGUGAUUGUAAGUGGCUUUAGUCUUGCCCUAUUCAAAAGGCCAAGUGAUAGUGAAAUCAGUACCUCGAGGAGAAGAAGGACCGGACUGGAGUAGGCAGAAGGGCCGAACUAGGAUAAAUCAUCUGUGUUAUCUGAGUUUGAUUUUCUUCUUUUAUUUAGUUGUGCAAUUUUUAUCUGGAUUUAAUUUUACUUGAGUUUUUAGUUGUCAACUAAUUCAGCCCCCCUCUUAGUUGCCAUUUGAUCCUUCAUUUGGUAUCAGAGAGCAGGUCUCACUGUUGCAGACUAACUGUCUCAUGAGAUGGCAACUUUUCACGCUAUCAUUGAAGGCCAAUCCAUCGCUCAUCCUUCUUUCUUUAAUGGGAGUAACUACACCUAUUGGAAGGUGCGGAUGCAGAUUUUUCUACAAUCCCUAGAUUUUGAUCUUUGGGGCAUUGUAGAAAAUGGCUACACUAAGCCUACCACGGCAACUAGCACAUGGAAGGCAGAGGACAAAGGUAAAUUUAAUUUGAACUCUAAAGCGAUGAAUGCUCUUCAUUGUGCUCUUGACUCAAACGAGUUCAACCGAAUUUCUACAUGCAAAACUGCAAAAGAAAUUUGGGAUAAAUUAGCCGUUGUUCACGAGGGGACAAAUCAAGUAAAAGAGUCUAAGAUAAAUAUGCUUACUCGCGAUUAUGAAAUGUUUUGUAUGCAACCAAAUGAAAGCAUUACUGAUAUGUAUACUAGAUUUACCAAUAUUAUUAAUAGUCUAAAGGCUUUGGGAAAGGCUUUUUCUGAUGCAGAUCUUGUUAGAAAAAUAAUCAGAAGUUUUCCUCAAAAUGGACCUUGGGAACCAAAGUUGGCGGCCAUUCAAGAAGCGCGCGACCUCGACAAAUUUUCAUUGGAGGAACUCAUAGGGUCUCUUAUGACUUAUGAGUUACGAUUGAAGAUAGAGCCUUCUACUUCCAUCAUCCAUACCGAAACGAAAAAUAUAGCCCUCAACUCUAACGAAGGAGAUAGAAGCGACUCUGACAAUGCCACUGACGACGAGAUCUCACAUCUUACUAGAAAAUUAAAAAAGAUCUUACAAAGAAAACACGGAGCUAAGUGGUCCGGCAAAGAUAAUGAUAGAUCUCACUUUUUUAAAAAAGAUGUAAAAUGCUACAAUUGUAAUAAAACAGGACACAUGAGUUAUGAUUGCCAAAACCAAAGUAAGUCUCCCUGAAAGGAGAAAAAGAAGAAUAAAGCCUUCUCCGCCGCUUGGAGUGAUGAUAGCGAUUCCGACAAGGAGGAAUCAACCAAGGAGGUCUCUAACUUAAGCCUCACCUAUGACGAUGCACCUUCGAAUUGUUGCUUCAUGACAAACAUAGAAGAUAAGGUAAAUGAUUUAACUUACGAUGAACUUUUAGAAGCUUUUUAUGAUCUUUAUGAUGAUCUCCAAAAAUUUGGUCCCAAAUAUGCUUCUUUAAAAAAAGAAAAUACAUCUUUAAUCUCAAAUUUAAAUUCAUUAAAAUCUGAAAAUAAAAGUUUAAAAACUGAGUUAAAUUUAUUAAAGAAGCAACUUGAGACCAAAAGUGAUGGCGAAAAUUAUAAAGAUACUAGUUUAUUUAAAACUGAAAAUGAAUCUCUAAAGAAGAACUUGAACGAUUCAAGAAAUACUUUAGAAAGAUUCAUUGGUAGCACAAAAGUUCUAAAUAUGAUGUUGGGUAAUCAAAGAUCCUAUUUGGAUAAAACUGGACUUGGAUAUCAACACAAGUUUAGUCAAAGAAAAAAUAUUUCUAAGCCAUUUGCAAAAUAUACAAACGGCAACAAGAAUGUGUUGUGUAUCUAUUGUAACAAAAUAGGGCAUCAUGUAACCCAAUAUCAAUUUAAAAAUAAGUUUAAACUUAGAUAACUUUGUGUGGUGAAAGGUUCUAACACAAGUGAACCCACAUCCAGGGUACCUUUCAUAGCUUAAAUUUUUGUAGGUAUACCUGCACUCAACAAAGUCAAGCGACAAAGGUUACUUGGACAGCGGGAGCUCAAGGCACAUGUUGGGCAACCCAACAAAUUUAUCAUCGCUUGAAUAUGAAGAGGGUGGGCGCAUAACCUUUGGAAAUAACUCCAAAGGUUGUACCAUUGGAAAAGGCUCAAUCGGUAACAAUUAAUUUUCUUUGUAUUUUUGGUGGAUUCUUAUCACUAUGGUUUAUCUUUCGUUUCAAUCAUUUUUUUUUUUUUUUUUUGGUAUAAGAUUUUCUGUGUAUUUUUUUAUAUCCUCCUUCAUCUUUUUAAAUUAUUUUUUUUGAUGAUAACAAAAGGGGGAGAAGAAAACGUUAUCUCAAAAUUAUUUUGAAAAUAUCUUUUUAUCGUGCUUAUUUUGAGGGGGAGUUUAUCUAUUACUUUAUUACCUUUUCAAAUUGUUUGUCAUCAUCAAAAAGGGGGAGAUUGUUGGAUUUUAUCCAAUAAUAAAUUUUGAAGAUAACAAACAAAUAUUGGAUUUAAUUUGUUACUUAGUAAUUUCAGGUUGUAGUUGAAUUUAAAAUGGCUCAAGCUGAACCGGAAUCAUGAUUUAAGGUAACAAUUCAAUUAAAUUAUUCAAAUUGGCCUGGACAAGAUCAAAUUGUACCAAAUUGGAUGCAAGUGCCAUUACAAUAAUUUGGAGGACUUCUUUGCAAUUAUCGGAUUUGAGCCAGUCAACCUAGUCAAGUUGUUCAAUUCACCUUUUCGGUUUAAUUUGUGCUUAAUGUCAAAUUAGCCAUUAUUUUAAUAUGGUAUGAAAGUGAUUUUAUGUAUGGUAUAAAUUCAAACAUGAUUUUAUUAUGGUAUGAAUUUGAAAAUGUGAAAUAUGAUAUAAAUGUAUUUUACAAGUUUGGUAUUAUUUCAAAAGCUUUUACAAAUGUGGAAUGAAUUCAAAAAGUUUUCAUUUGUAGUAUUAAUUUAAAAGGAUUUUACAAAUUUGGUAUAAUUUCAAAUGAGCUUUUCAAUAUAGUAAUAUUUCAAAUGAGUUUUGCAAAUGUGGUAUGAAUUCAAAUUUAUUUUGAAAUUAAUUCAAAUACAUUUGCAAAUAUGGUUAAAAUUCAAAUUGAAAUCAAUUAUGAUUUAAUUAUGCUUUUGUUCUAUUUUUGAAAUGAUGGCUAGUGUAUUUAAAGGGAGGCUUGGAUGUUGUUUGUAUACAACUUCAGAAAAAUUCUCUAAGUCCUAAUUGUUCAUUGAUUUGUAAUUGUGAGCUUCUUGAGAGAUUGUAAAAGAAAUUUUGUGUGAUUGUAAGCGGCUUUGGUCUUGUCCUGUUCAAAAGGCCAAGUGAUAGUGAAAUCGGUACCUCGAGGAGAAGAAGGACCGGACUGGAGUAGGCAGAAGGGGCGAACCAGGAUAAAUCAUCUGUGUUAUCUGAGUUUGAUUUUUUUCUUUUAUUUGUUUGUGCAAUUUUUAUCUGGAUUUAAUUUUACUUGCGUUUUUAGUUGUCAACUAAUUCACCCCCCCUCUUAGUUGCCAUUUGAUCCUUCCAACAUAUAGUCCUAGUUAGCGCCAUGCCUCAUGAUCCAUGGUAGGCACUUCCACUGUGGCAUUGUGCCUCCCCCAUAGUGUCCUAAUAGGCACUCCAAAAGCAAGGGUGAAAUGAUGUCGCAAUGGCAAUACAUUUAGAGGGCCUUAGUUUGGACGGAGCGACCAUCUCAAGCAUAUGCUAGAUGAAAAUAGUUAACUCUUACAAAUGAUAGUCUUAUGCAUAAUGUCCAAAGACAAUCGAUCUCAAUACUUAACCUUGGUCAUAAGAGUUCUCAUAUACGUUUACCCAUUACAUGUUUCAACUUAUCAAUAAGAAGUUAUUUGAACAAAUAAUACUAAAAAAAGUAUCCAAUACUAUGAGAGUAUAUGCAUCUCAACUCAACCAUACCAUGUAUAGAGAAUGAAGUACUCAUGGACAAACUAAGUAGAUGACUAUGUUCUCAAUGAAGUUUACGUAUCAAUGAAGUUCAUGCAUCAUGCUAUACAAGGUAUAUAAUAUGGAGUUUCCAACCAACAUGUAUAAGGUGAUGAUGUUAUACACUAUAUCAUCCACAAAUAUUCCAACUGUCAUGUUCACUAAUUUUGGUUAGGUCGAAUCCACUGGAUAGUCAACGAAAAUCCUUUGAUCUCAUGAACCAAUUUGUCCACCCUCUUUUCCAAAGAAUUUUCCAAUUAGCUAGUUACAACCUCUUCAAAUCAUCAUUCCAAAAUUCACCAAAAAUCACAAGAAAAAUAGGUGAAAAAUAUCUUAAUCCAAGAAAUUCUUGCAAUUUCUUCGAAUCAAGUUGUUGGGGUUUCAAUUCCAACCAACCAGAGAAUUCUAAACCUACCAAUUCCAACAAAAGCCUCACAUUUGAAAAUUUCUAAUUUUAAUCCUAAUUUGACAUAAAGAGAAAGUUCACCAAUUUACUCUCAAAUCGAACUAACUAGAGUGUUUAAACUUAGCUACUAAUCUUAAUCGCCAAGUCGUUAAACUAAGAAAAUCAAUUUUAAAUCAAAUUGAACUUCAAUUAAUUGACCACCAAGUUCUUAAACUGAAAAAAUUAACUUCAAAUCUAAUUCAUGCGCAAAUCAAAUCUGACAGCCAAGUCUUUAAACCGAGCAGAUCCAAUUCAAAUUCAACUUGACUUUAUCACCAAGUCACUAAACUGAAUUUUUUUUGUUUUUACUUUUAUAGAAUUUAUGUACAGUAAGAGUAUGCCUCUGCUUAAGCCAUAUAUUUAUUAAAUUAUAUCAACAAAAUUUCAUCAUUAUGCUUCGGUCUCUUUUUAUUAUUAGCAUCUCAUUUAGUCUCUUAAUUGGGGUUUUUUUAACAUUGCAAGCAUGGGAUAUUUAACAGCAGAUUUUUUAGUCUACUAGAAGUCAUGAAUCUAUAAAUUUGAUUUCAAAUUAAAAUUCAAAAAAAAUUGAUUUGUACCAUAAAUGACCACUAGCUGUGUAAAGGCACGUGGCGGGUUGGGCUGUUAGUGGUGGCACAAGGACAAAAUGUUUUGCUAAUUAAAGCAGAGACCAAAGAUCCUUAUGAAGUCUAUAUAGAGACCAUAUAUACAACUAUAUCAAUAUUACAAUAGAACUUUAUCUGUUUUGGUUUUGUGCCCCGUGAAAAAUUCAAAAGAAUAUUCACUACUUGCGGCCCAUUAGAUAUUACAAGCUGUCUGACACUACUGAACUAAUUUAAAUAUUUGGAAAGAGUUUCUAUUGCAAUGUAAAAUAGCAUUUGUGCAGUUCUAGCUAUCUAUUAGUGUUUUGGUGAGGCUAGGCAGGAUUGCCUUGUUUCUUCAAUUUUUUUUUCUUUGUCUAUUUUUUUUUAAUUUUUUUUUCCUGUAAGAGGCUGUAACCUUUAGACCCCUAUCCUAAUUUAAAUAUUUAAAUUUGUCAAAUAUUUGAAUUACUUUUGUAAACUCUUGUAUGGAUGUGUAAAAUCGAAUUGAGCGACAUCUGAGCAUUUUCAGAAGUUAUCGCCAUUUUUAACUAGCUCGGGUUAGUGUAGUGGUUAACUGCGAGAUAAGCAUGCUCGCCUGGAUAGCUGCUCCUACCUACCUCACUCUACUCCUUCUUUCCCUCCUUUUUGCCCUUAUCUUGUCCAAGGAAGGAAUGCUACCAUGUGGCUUUUCCCCUUCUCCCUCUUCUCCAUAUAUAUCUCUCUUCUACUUUUUUCCCUCUUUUUUCUCCUAUUCUCUUCGUUCCUACUGCUAUCACCUCCAUCUCUCUCUUUUUCUUUUCUCCUUCCUCUCUAUCUUUUUUUAUCAGCUCUACUGAUUACUCUCCACAAAAUUGAGUCAACUUCAUCCCAGGCUCCGGUGAAGCUCAGAAACCUAUCACGCUCUGAGCUAUAACGAAGGCUUUUCAGAUGCGCUAACAAACCUGCGGUAUGAACAGGGACAACCCCGUACAUAUGAAGCGUACAUAAAACUAAUACAUUAACAUCAUACACACAGGCAUAUAUAAGAGAAAUAUGCGAGUCGGGGUAUCAAAAACAAAAUGUAACUAUUGCUAUUAUAAUAAAACUUUAUAAAACUAACCAAACCAAAAUGAAAUUUACAUUGUUUUUCCAAGUACAACAAGAAAACUCCAUCAAUACAGUAUACAUAGGAGUCACUCCACUUGGUCUCACCUAGGGCUGAGUAAGUGCUAUGUAGUUCGCGAUCACUUUACCAUGAUAUUUGACGGAAGAUGAUGACUCCGAAAGAGAAACAACAAAACAAGGUGUGAGAACUAUUGAAAAUAAUUUCCAAUAGGUACAGUUGCUGAGAGGGGCGACCUACACCACUAGAUCUACUCGAUGCAUCAGCAGCAGAGAUAUAAAAAAGAACAAUAAAGUAUGAAGUACAGUAAGGUAUCCCUGUGAUGCCCCAACUUCUCAGGGGGUAACCCAUCUUAGGACUACUCCCGUUUUAGCAUUCUUUACUCUCUUAACUUCUUGGACCUAGCCACCACCCAAAAUACUUAAGUCGUGUUAAGAGUUUCAACCUUAUUAUAUCUUAUAUAUAGGACUAUCUGGGAUCUCACAUUCUUUCGCACUUUAUGACCUGACGUCCUCGUCAGACUUAGACUCACAAGUACCAGGCGAUGUGAGACUCGUCUCACUAGCCUAAACCGACUUUGUAGGGCAGCAAUGUUUUACCUACAAUAGUUAACAGCAUAAGAGCCUCGCUCUUGUCACGCCCAGGUACCAGCGGAAGCAUAUCCGGUACGUGCACAGACCCGCCAUACACCUGCAGUAUAUAAGGCGUCUACGAGAAAGUAAGGCGAUAGGAGAAAAACUUAGAAAAAUCCUAUCCUGAUAUCAGAACAAAGUAUAAGUUUCCAAUACUAUCAAUAAAAGAACAAGAGGGUCCAACUCAAAAUAUAAGUACAAAAGAAAGUACUAAACUAUAACAUCUGGAUCCAAUACUCAUAUACAUCAUAGACAACCCAAAAUAUCUCUACAAUGGUAGUCUCUCUAUACACAGGACAUCACCCUCGGCCGUAGCCCGAGUAGCAAUGUGAUCGACUAGCACGCUCCUAGCAGUGUCUAGCUAGACGCGACUCCCUUGCCACGAUCCCUAGUCUCUCCUGUAGAUGGCUCUGUAAAAAAAACAACCACAAAAAAGGAAGUGAGAACUAUAAACAAUAGUUCCCAGUGGGUAAGCCGCCAGCCUUGGCGAAUUACACCACUAGGCUCAUGAUGUACUAAAUGAAAGCAAAAACGAUACUUGCAUGAUCUAUAAGCAUGAUGCUAACAAGUAAUGAGCAUGUAAUCAGCAUGUAAUAGUUUUCUACAGUAAUGAAUAUAAACAUAAACAUAAGCACGAAUGUGUAAGUGACUACUAUACACUGUAACUGGUAAGCACUCAUUACUGUCAAAUGUUAUUUAGUACUUAGCCUCAUUUAGAAUUUUCCUUUUUUUUUCAUAUAUCAGGACCUACACCAGGUAGUCCAACUUGCGCCGCGCCUAAUGGCCCCGUGGUAGUAUACACUCCCCACGGCAAUCCACUUCAGCACCCAAUCCCGCACGGGCGAGCAAUUGUCGCGUAGGCCAACUCCGGAGUGCCGGCUUGUAGGGAGCGACCCUCACAAGCGUGUGCGAAUGAGCACGAUGGCAAGCAAGUAUAUUCCACUGUCCACAUGUCUCAAUUAUCAUGUUUUCAUUUGUAAUGUUCUCAGUCUCGAUCCUUGAUCGGAAAUUUCAAUAUAACAAAUAGUAACAACAACUAGAAUCCACUAGUUUAAUAAGCAUGCAAGAGUAAUGCUAAUUUACACCUGGCAUUAGAAUCUUUUCACUAUCAUGACACUACCAAUAUAGUCAUAAAGUAUGUCAUAGUUCUCUACUUUAGAGUCAAAAGAAUGUCAUUGUUUUUUACUUUAUAAGUGCAUCCUACACUUGUUCAUAAGUCAUUCAACUGAAUUGAAUAUAAAUACAAAUACUUUCAUAUAUAUACGUUCUCUACUUUAUAGAGGUUUCAUUCUACUUAAGCAUCAAUCAUUACGGUGCCAUGUUCCAAAUUCUCUAUCAAUCACAUAAUCACUAAAUGCACCUAUGCGAUAAUUCUAUAGGUACAUAUAGAACAUAGGGGGCUUCACUUGCUCUGGUUAGGUCAAACCCACCUAAUCCUAAGCUCAAGUCAGCCCAAAAGAAGUCCCUCAAUCUGCUCCAAUAGGCCUCAACUCCACUGAAAAACGAACAUCAAAACUGAGUUGGAAACCAUUAUUAUAAUGUCCGAAAUCGGCACAAUUUCACUUGGUACAAAAUAGCAACUUGAAUCUCUGUUUCGGCUAGUUCACUACCUCGAGUUAUGCCUCUAAGAGCCCUCACAAGUUAACUGAAGAUGAUCCAAGGCUCGAUCGUACUCCUGCUGCGAACAAUAUCAAAACGGCGUCAAAAUCAUUGAAUGCGAGUAAAUAUAGCCGGAAACUUGUGAUUUCAGUUUUCUAGCAGAAGUUCUUGCUUACCCUUGGUUAGAACACCCUCCAAACCAGAUCCCCAGGUCCUCAAUCUAGUUAAAGUAAAUUUGGAAACUUGCUGCGAAGACAUAACCUCAAACUGCGUCAAUUACUCGAUUACGUUGCAUAUAGAUCCGAAAUAGCUUCAUUAGUUGACUAAUUACCUGUAUCAAGCCUCAAGGCAACUUUUCCCUGGAUCAAAGUGGGUAAAUAACAGCUAGAUAUCUCCUUUCUAGCUGCAGGAAACCCUGGCAAACUUUGGUGGAAGCAACGGAACAAGAAUGCGUUAAAAUCCGACGAUAAACCACAAACUAGAGAAAAAUUAAGCUAAAAACUUCUCUAAAGCUCUCUUUCAGCAAUUCUCAGCAUUAAACAUGGAAAACACUGUCAAAACACAUCCCUUUACCUUUUAAAAGCUGUCCCCUAGUCCACCCAACCAGCGAGCGACGAGCGCGGCGCAAAACGGCGUCUUCAACUUAGUGAGAGAAAAUCCUAGAGAGAGAGAAGAAGAAGAAGAUGGAGGAACCUUCCUCAGAGCUCUAGCACACUCCAGCAAGUCCCAGGAGUCGUGCUGGGGUAAAGUAGAUAGGGACAAGAGGUGAAAUUACCAAAGUAGCCUUGCUGCCACAUAUUGCCACUGUGUACCGGUACACCAUAGUGGCUGUACCGGUACACCAAGCAGAAAAAACUGAAUUUCGCCAGUUCAAUGCACUUUCUUGCUUUUAACCCUCCAAUUACUCUCUAACUUAUUCAAAAAUUUGUCCAAGUCAUUUAGAACAUGUAGAAUAGUUCCACACUUCAUUCCACACACUCGAACUCUGCAAUUUGCAAAAGUUCAGUGUAUUACAGCUCUCCUAUUGUAUAAUUCUGGCUUAGCCGAGACUCAUCUCACACUUCGGCCGGUAAUUGGCUCUGAUACCAACUGUGACGCUCUAAAUUUCCAGAGGGGUCACCCAUCGUAGGACUACUCCCGUCCUAGCACACUUAACUCUCUUAACUUCUUGGGUCUAGCCACCACUCAAAAUGCUUAAGCCGAGUUAGAGUUUAACUUUAUUAUAUCGUAUAUAUAGAACUAUUUGGGGUCUCACAUUCUUCCCCCCUUUAAGUCCAGACGUCCUUGUCAGGCUCAGACUCACAAGUACCAGGCGAUGUGAGGCUCGUUUAGUCUAAAUUGACCUUGUAGGGCAACCGCGUUCUACCAACAACAGUCAACAGUAUGAGAGUCUCGCUCUCCCCGCUGUAUAAUUCUGGUUCUGCUGAGACUCAUCUCACACUUUCGGCUGGUAAUUGGCUCUGAUACCAAUUAUGAUGCCCCAUUCCAGGGGGUCACCCAUCCUAAGACUACUCCUAUUGUAAGGAAGUAAAUUCUUGAAAUGCGAGAGUUAGACUUCAUUUAAAAAUCGACCAAGGGUCGUGUUGGUAUGCUUCGGAAAAGUCGAAGAAGUCAAAAGCACCAAAAGUGCAUUGAAGUUGGACCUCGGAGAGCAAACUGUUGAAAACCUGCAUUGGGUAGAUUCUGCUCUCAGGGACCGGUCCCUGGCGGGAGAGACCGGUCCCCGUAAGCAUUGUUUGAGUCCUCUGCCAUAAUUGAAGGAAUAGUCGUUCGUUUAAGCUUGUAGGCUCUGAUACCAUGUAAGAAGAAAAGAAGGAAUAAAGCAGAGCAUGUUUUCAUUAGUUGUACAACUGUUUAUAUAUAUACAUGAGUUCAAAAUAAGUUGUUAUCUCUGUAACAACAUUUCAAAGUUGAAACCAACUAGAUGUUUGACUAUCCUUAUUCCUAGGUAGGAUGUUAUUUGUUUUCUCCAAUAGGCACAUGUCAUCAAGUGAAAAAAUUGGCGGAUCAGAAUGAGGUAAGGAUGAAUUGUAAUAGUCAAAAGACAUUGUAUUUGGUGAAAAUUUUGGUGUUUCACUUUCGAAUGAAACAAAUCGACAAUCACUACUAUUAUUUGAGAGAUACGGUGGAGAAUGGUCUUAUCUCACAGUUGAAGGUUCAUAUUAAUACAAAUCCAGUCGAUAUUUUGACGAAACCGGUUAGUUAAGAGAAGUUUAGUUGGAGAAAGACUUCUUUCGAACUUGUAGCUACAUGAGGAGUGAGAGGGUAGCAAGACCUCUGAGUUUGGUGUUCUAUAAAGUUUGGCACAUGUCAUCAAGUGGAAAAAUUGGUGGAUCAAGUUGAAGCCACAUUCUAAGUCGAUUUCACGGGCGAGGGUCAAAAAAUGGGUUACUCGAUGCUAUGUUCCGAAACCUAUUCAAGGGUGUUUCGAAACCUCAACACAUUCUUCUGUAGAACCCAAAUAUGGUGAAGUUGGUAUGAAGGCUGGUGUUCCAAAAUGCUUUGUCUAGCUUCCAUAACAUGACACUUUGCAAAGUGUCAGGUUUCAGAACCCCCUAUGUAGGCUCCAAAACAUGUAGCUGUGAUGAGCAAGAUCAAUUAAGUUGGACUUCAAAAUAGGCUAAUGUUGUGCUUUAAGAUUAGGGAUGACCUGGAAGCAUCUUGUGGAGGGUUUUUAAGUGAAAAUCAACACAUAUAAGUGAAUCAGAGGCUUGAAUGGAUAUUGACUGUUGGUGUUCUUGACCCUUAUUAGUCUACUAAAUUCUUUUUUUUUUAAUAUAUGAUGACUCUUAUUAGUAUUCGUGCAUGAAUAGUUUUUCUCUUGGUUUUUUUAUUUUCCUAUACGACAUUUUGUUUCUCUUAUAUUAAAUGCAAGAGAAAAUGAAGGAUUAUAUGGAGUUGCCUAUUUAUUGGUUGGAAUAUCCAUGAUGUGGGGUAUGCCAAAGUGCUUAUGCGCCUAGAGUUUAUAAGCGUAAGCACCAAAAUUUAGUACAAGUUAUUGUUGAAAGAUCCACUUCUUUCUAUUUGUCUUUUCUUUGUACUACAAUUUUAAGCGUGUAGUAUAAGGUGCUACAUAUAUAGUUGAAACGGGUGACUAGCCUUUUUUUUCUUCAAAACACGUACAAAAAUUCAAACAAUCUAUUUACAUGGGAUGAAGAUAGAUCGGAUAGGGAUUGACAUUUGACAAAACGAUAUCCACAUCUACAAUAUUUUUUUCAGAUACGAAUUCAAAUGCAGAUAUGUAUUGAAUAUUAAAUUUUUAUUAUCAUAUCUGCUAAAGAUAGAUACAGCUACGAUCAAAUAUUUCUUCAAAUUUGGUUUUGGAUUAGAUUUGUAAUUGGAUGUUAUUCAGAUAAUAAUAUACAAUGAAAUGCAUAUAUUGACUACAAACUAGAAUUACGUAAAUAAUACAUAAUCCAAGUAAAGUAUCACACUUGUGUUCAAACCUUAAAUGCCUAUAACUUAUUCAAUAAAUUUAAGGGCAUACUUAAUUGGUACAAAAUGAAAUUCAAAAUGGGAGGAGACAUCAAAAUUGACCACAAUGAAAAACAAAAGGGUAAAAUCUGCUAAUUUGUUUAGUUAAUAAUUUAUAUCAGAAUCGGUAUUACGUAUUAACCCAUCAUUAUUGUUUGAUAAUGGAAAAUUUAAAAUAGAUUUCCAAAUUCAUAAUAUAAAAUUAAAUUAUAUAUUCAAACUAUAAAAUUCAAAUAUAUGUAUAAAAUUUGUAUUUUAGUUCAUAGUUUACAUUCAGAUCUCUAAUGCAAAUUUUGUUUAACCAUUUGAAUAUAUAUUUUGAUCUAAAUUUGAAUUCAAAAUGAUAUAUAGAAUUCAAAAUUUAAAAUAUGUUUAAAUUAAAACUUAAAAACCAAAAUUUAAGUAGAAAUUGAAAUUUACUUUUUAAAUUUAUAAUAAAAAUUUGAAUCCUAAUUUGGACUGAGAAUUUGAGCUUAAAAAUUAAAUUUAAAUAUAAAAUCACAAUUCAAAUUCAAAUUUGAAGUCAAAAUUUGCAACUAUAUCUAACCUUAAAUAUCAAACUUGCAUUAAAAUUUAAGUUUAAAAAUUAAAAGUAAAAUUCUAUAACCAUAUUUCAAAUUCAAAUUCAAUCCAAAUUUGUACUGACAAUUUAAACUUAAAUUUUAAAUUUAAUUAUUAAUUCACUAUUCAAAUUCAAGUUCAAAGUCAAAACUAACUAUAUCUAAAUUUAGGUAUCAAACUUACAUUAAAAUUUAAUUUUAAAGUUAAAUUUAAAUUUUGAAUCCACUUUUUAAUUUUAAAUUUAAUCCUAAUUUGGACUGGCAAUUUGAACUUCAAAUUUAAAUUUAAAUAUGAUUUCACAAUUCAAAUACAAGUUCAAACUCAACAUUUAUAACUAGUUUGAAUGCAAAUAUCAAGGUUAUAUUAAAAUUUAAAUUUCAAAUCCAGCUUCCAAAUUUGAGUUUGGAAUUGCAAUUUAACCUAAAUUUAAAGUUAGAUAUAUAAUUAAAUUUUAAAUAAUUGUCAUUAAAUUUUAAAAAUAAAGUGUUGAUGCAGAAAUGAAAUUCUCUACCACUUAUACACAAGGCAAACUUUUACAGGGUGAAAAUGGAUCGGAUAUUAUUCAAAAUUAUCUUUAUCCGUAUCCGCUAUUAUCCGAAUACGGAUAGUUUCUAUCUAGAUCCGUUCAGAUACAAAUGCAGAUAUGGGUUUAGAGGGGCAAAAAUUUCAAUAUAUUCGACAAAAUCAGAUCCGUAUCCGGAUAUCCGGAUUUUUAGUAAUAGAUAAGAGUCAGGUUUAAUAUAUAUUGUGAAAAAAUAAAGUAUUUUUUUUUAUAUUUCGUUUAUGCAUCAUGAGUUUUCUAUUAAAAUUGUAUAUUAUAUUGGUGAAAAUAUAAGAUAAGUAAAUAAGGUUAAAAAAUAAAAUAAAUUUUUAUAAUUUUGUUUAUUUUUUGCAUGCAUAUUAGUGUAUAUUAGUAUCGGAAUAGUAUCUCGAUACAUAUCCGGUCCAUAUUUGAAUCUGAAAAAAUAUUCGACCAUAUUCGAAUUCAUUUUUAGCGGAUAUGGUAAUAAAAAUUUAACAUCCGAUACAUAUCUUUAUCCGAAUUCUUAUCAGGAAAAAAUUAUGGAUGUGGAUAUUCAAUAUCCAACAGUAUUCGACCCGUUUUCACCCCUAAGUUUUUAUGAUUCCUGCUGCAGCCGAGUAGUCAUUUAUCUUCCCACAAUAUUUUGUCAUCAUUCAAUAAUAUAUAUAUAUAUAUAUAUAUAGAGAGAGAGAGAGAGAGAGAGAGAGAGAGAGAGAGAGAGUCCAGCUAUGGUGCUUGUAAAAGUACAAAGCAUUUGGUGCUUGUAAGUUUUUUACCGUUAGAUCUACUCCUUGGAUCAUUUUCAACCAUUAGAUUAUACUAUUCAACCAACCACCCACUCAACCCUAGGGGGCCCACAUCAUCCUAACCGCAUAUCUCUUAAUCCAAUGGCUAAAAAUCUACAAGCACCAAUAACUUGGUACUUUUAAAAGUAUAGGAGCUCAAUUCUAUAUAUAUAUAUAUAUUUAUUAGAGAGAGAGAGAGAGAGAGUUUGAGCUAGAUAUUAUCGAUAGCAAACGGGGCUUUUUAUGCCACGAUUUUUUUUGAUGAUGAGAGCCCACCAAUCGACAUCGGUACCGUCGAACAUGAUUUAUACAACUUGAAGUGUUUAGAAAUUAAAUUUCUAUUAUUUCUUUCUUUUUUUUUUUUUUGAGAGAUAGGUAGCACACUACCCGUUUCGUUUAUUUCAUUUAGAAAUAAACUUAGCUAGAAAUAUGAAUCAAUUAGGAUUCGAACUUGGGUCUCGGGUACCAACCACCAAGCCCUUUGCCACUUGCUCUAGGGACGGUUUGUUAUCUUAUCCAUUAAGUGGACACAAAAAUGAACGGCUGAAAAUGAAUAUUCUUUAAAAAAUGAUGAUAGGAAUCUUGAAAUCAAGAUCAAGAGUAUAGAUCUUGUUUUAAAUAGUUUAAAGAAUUUUCUAACAAAAAUUCAAUUGAUUUGGAUAUCUUUACACCGUUAAACAAGAAAACGUCUCAUAUCGACCAUUAAAAUUACAAAUUUUGAAAUCCUUUGAUCAUUAGGCAAAUGAUGUCGAAAAGAUUUGAAAUUUGAUUUCUAAACAAAUCAAAUGGUAUAGAUCAUGUUCAAGCUAUUGGUGCUAUUAGUUUUUUAACCUUUGGAUUGAGAAAUAUACUGUUAGUUGAAUAGUAUAAUCUAUUAAAUCUAACGGUGGAAAACUCGAUAGCACCAAUAGUAUCCCAGCCGGACUCUCUCUCUCUCUAUAUAUAUAUAUAAUAUUGUGGGAAGAUAAUAUAUACUAAUUUAUAAAUAUCUAGAUCUGGAUUAAAUCUAACGGUGGAAAACUCGAUAGCACUAAUAGUAUCCCAGCCGGACUCUCUCUCUCUCUCUAUAUAUAUAUAUAAUAUUGUGGGAAGAUAAUAUAUACUGAUUUAUAAAUAUCUAGAUCUGGAUCUGUAUCUGAUUUUUUGGAUAUUCAAAUAAUUUUAAACUCUUUGAAAUUAUGUUUACAUUUAUAUCCGACAGAAUCCUGAUAUUUUUUCGGAUAUAAAUAAAAUUAAAUAAGGAUGCCCAUAUAUGGCCGGAUAUAUAUCCGAUCCGUUUUGAACCCAAUGUGAAAGCGUCUACUCACAAGCACUGAGUUAGUCAGUGAGAUUUGUUGCACCACUCAUUGACUUUCCAAGUGGCGUGUAUGGACAAAUGGAAUGACUCUGACUGCAAGACUUCCAACUAACAGUCCAAAGUCACAUAGUACAGACUUCCAAUUGUGUAUUGUUGAGCUAGCUAGUCUGGCGUUCUUUGCUGCAGCAUAGAGCAUUAUCUGAAAUAGGCUAUGUCAAUGGGUCGCAUUCGGAGCGAAUUUUUAAAAAGUUGAGUCCAUACCUAACUAUCAAAUUUGAAAUCCGAAUCCAAACGCGAAUUCGACGGAUUUUCAAAAUUCAUAUUCAAAUCCGAAUCCGACAAAAAAUCUAAAGUCCAAACCUGAACCCGAACCCAAAAAUAUGAACUUGAAACUAUUAUUUCACUUUACCAUAUUUCACAACAUAUUACAUUAAACUUAAAUUAAUUUUUAAAAUAUAAAUUCAAAUUUUAUAUAUAUAUAUAUAUAUAUAUAGAGAGAGANAUUUGCAAAAGUUCAGUGUAUUACAUUCACCCCUCCUAAAAAAAAGUUUCGUCCGCGAAACUUAUAAACACUUACCUCAAGAUUCUGUCGAGAAUAGAUAAGGAUAAUGCUCUUGCAUUGCACUUUCCAGUUCCCAAGUGGCUUCUCGUUCAUCGUGAUUGCUCCAAAGGACCUUCACGUAGGAUAUCUCGCGAUUUCGAAGCCGUUUUACUUCUCGAGCUAGUAUUCUCACUGGAUGCUCCUCGAAGCUCAAGUCUUCUUGUAAAUCCACUGGAGUACUCUUCAAUAUGUGAGUUGGAUCAAAAACAUAUUUCCGAAGCGUAGAUACAUGAAAUACAUUAUGCACUCUCGAUAGGCUCGGCGGCAAAGCAAGCCGAUACGCUACGGGGCCGAUCCGCUCCAACACCUCGUAGGGUCCCAUAUAUCGAGGACUCAGCUUUCCUCGAAUGCCAAAUCUCUUAACUCCUUUCGUCGGUGAAACCUUUAGGAAUACAUGAUCAUCAACUCGAAAUUCCAAUUCUCGUCGAUGUUUAUUCGCAUAACUCUUUUGUCGACUUUGCACUGUCAGUAGGCGUUCUCGUGCAAGUCGAACUUUAACUUCGGCCUCCUGUAACACAUCUGGACCCAACGCUAAUCUCUCUCCCACUUCACUCCAAUGAAGUGGUGAUCUGCACUUCCUACCGUAGAGGGCUUCAAAAGGCGCCAUUUGAAUACUUGCGUGAUAGCUAUUGUUAUAGGCAAAUUCCGCCAUUGGUAGAAACUGAGGCCAACUGCCCUGGUAAUCCAUCACACAGGCCCUCAACAUAUCCUCCAGGGUCUGGAUGGUACGCUCGGACUGCCCAUCACUUUGGGGGUGGAAAGCAGUACUAAAAUCCAAUCGGGUGCCCAAGGCUCCUGUAAACUCCUCCAGAAAUGUGAAACAAAUCGGGUGUCCCGAUCAGAAACAAUAGAGGCUGGUACUCCAUGUAAUCGCACAAUUUCAUCUAGGUACACUUGUGCGAGUCUUUCCCCCGACCAAACUAUAUGAAUUGGAAUAAAGUGGGCGGAUUUAGUCAAUCUGUCCACAAUUAUCCAAAUUGCAUCAUGACCUGCCUGAGUGCGAGGUAAUCCAACAAUGAAAUCCAUAGUAAUCUUCUCCCACUUCCACACUGGUAUGGGUAAGCUUUGAAGUUUUCCAUCAGGAAGUCGAUGUUCAGCUUUAACCUGUUGACAGGUUAAGCACUUAGCUACGAAGUCUGCAACUUCUCUUUUCAUUCCAAACCACCAAUAAGUCGACUUCAAAUCUUUAUACAUUUUCGUACUCCCAGGGUGUAACACAUACGGUGCCCGAUGUGUUUCCUUUAAAAUCUCCUCUUUAAUACCAGAAUCUGCCGGUACACAAAGUCGAUCACCAAAUUUCAACAGUCCCUGAUCAUCUACUCGAAAAUCACUAACAUGAUCAACAGUGAUCUUUGCUCGAAUCUUUUGCAGGAAUUCAUCCUGAAUUUUCUUUUCUUUAAUUCGAUCGAUCAGGGUAGGUCGCAUUACUAAUGACAUAAGUCUCCAAGGCGUAUCAGGAGCUACAACUUCCAAUUUCAGCUGCUUCAUUUCUUUUACCAACCAUAGUUGCAGAGUUAUCAACAUCGCCAAAUUUUCCGUCGAUUUUCGACUUAAAGCAUCUGCUACAACAUUAGCUUUUCCUGGAUGAUAAAGGAUAGUCAAAUCAUAAUCCUUGAGCAACUCCAACCAUCUACGUUGUCUCAAGUUUAAUUCCUUUUGAGUAAACAGAUACUUUAAACUUUUAUGAUCUGUAUACACUUCGCAACGCUCGCCGUAGAGAUAGUGGCGCCAAAGCUUUAAAGCAAAUACCACAGCUGCUAACUCAAGAUCAUGUGUAGGGUAGUUCUUUUCAUAAUCUUUCAAUUGGCGAGAUGCAUAAGCAAUUAC
RNAcentral lists this long non-coding RNA (68311 nucleotides) under Ananas comosus (pineapple). Its description in RNAcentral is "long non-coding RNA (ACOM_LNC017696)". Lineage: Eukaryota; Viridiplantae; Streptophyta; Magnoliopsida; Poales; Bromeliaceae. The record is from RNAcentral.